UUUUUUUUUUUUUUUCUUGCAGUUGGUGAACCAUGGAGUUAACCCUAUGCUGUUAGAGAAUCUGGAACAUGAGAUUGAAGUAUUCUUUAAGCUUCCCUUGGAAGAGAAAAUGAAAUAUGCAAUAAGGUCAGGUGAUGUUGAAGGCUAUGGAAACAUAGCCAAGACCAAAGACCAAAAGCUUGACUGGGGUGAUAGGUUCUAUAUGAUAACCAACCCUAUUCAUCGAAGAAAGCCGUACCUCUUCGCAGAGCUCCCUUCAUCCAUCAGGUCCUCUCUCUCAUAAAUCUUAAGAGCCCAUUUGAUAACAAAAUGAAACAAAAGCUGAAAACUUAAAUGAAGAUGAUUAUGAAAUGGCACCUAAACUUGUAUACAAUUGUUCUCUUACACAUUCAAACACACAUGCACCCAGUUUUUCUAAAUUUUUAUUGAAUUUGACAUGUUUUCUUGGUAUAUGCUAGGAAUACCUUGGAGUCAUACUUUAUGGAAUUGGACCAACUUGCCAUGAGACUUCUUGGGUUUAUGGUGAAAGCUCUGAAGACAGAUAUGAGAGAGAUAGAGGAGUUGUUUGAUACAGACGGGAUGCAAUCAGUGAGGAUGACAUACUAUCCUCCAUGUCCACAACCAGAGCUGGUUGUAGGGCUCUCACCUCACUCAGAUGUAUGUGGGAUCACCAUCCUCAACCAGCUUAAUGGAGUUGACGGUCUCCAAAUUAAAAAAGACGGGGCUUGGAUGCCUGUCAACUUCCAAAAAGAUGCCUUUGUGGUGAAUGUCGGGGACAUUUUUGAGGUUUGUCCUGUAUAUACUUCUUUCCUCGCACUUCUUUUCUGGGCUAUAUUCGACCAUAAAGUAGAAAAAAAAAAGAUAAUAAAUGAAAGAGAAAAAGACUACUAGGUUAGCAAACGUGGGAUUUCGAAUCUCUAUAUAUUAGUAUGUGGGAAUAUUUGAAAUGAAAUUGUUCAGUACUGUACAAGCACUAGGUGCGGACAAUAAUUAACUGUCGCAUUUGAUUUCAAUGAUUUAACUGAAGAAUGAUUGUUAGACCAAAUUUAACGAUUAAAUAGGUGACACUAAAUAUAUAAAUAAUAAACAACAUUAGUAAAAUUGAGGCAUAAAUUAGAAAAUUAAUACUAAUUUAUUCCUCACUAUUAGUGUGCGGGACAGGCAACUAAUACUACUUAAGUGAAACGGUGCGUAUUGCUUUGUCAGUAUUAUUGGAUUGGGCUGUAGGAUGAACAAACAACGCUGUAGAAAAUUGGUUAAUGUAAGAAGAAUGAACAAACAACGCUGUGGAAAAUUGGUUAGUAUUAAGAAAAAUGCUAAGUAGAUUAUGUUUUUAGAUCAUAUUUUGUGGAUCACAUGAUGUGACGGUUGAUAAUUAGAUUUAUUCUUCCACAUCAUGUGAUCUACAAAAUAUAGUUUAAGUAAACGAUCUUUCUAGUAUCACUUAAAUGUUAAUGGGUUGAGACUGUUGAGUUCGAUCAUUUAACAAUAAAUUAAAAACUUGAAUCUAUCAUAUUAGUACAACACUUGGCUUCACAUCACAGCUUGAGUCCUUGUUCUUGCAAUGAUAACGAGUAAUCGUUUCACAUUGUCACUGGAGAAGGAAUGAUCUUUUAUAUGUAAAGAGUCAAAUCAAUUCAUUCAUUUUAUUAUAUGUGUAUUUAUAUGGUAAUACUAUACCUUAGAUCAUGGCAUAUAUGGGGACAUACCAAUAUUAAGGAAAUUUUAUAUUACAUUUGCAGAUGCUGAGCAACGGAGUUUACAAAAGCAUUGAACACAGGGCAAUGGUGAAUUCAGAGAAAGAAAGGGUGUCGGUUGCGAUGUUCUUCAGCCCUAAAUUUGAGGCAGAGAUUGGGCCACUCAGAAGCUUGAUAACCCCAGAAAACCCACCACUGUUCCAAGGGGUUGGGAUGGAAAAGUACGUCAACGAUUUCUUCUCCCGCCUUAGGCUUGACGGGAAAUCGUACUUGGAGCAAAUGAAAAUCUAAAAUGCUUGAUUAAGGACUGAUCGAUCGCUUAUUCGAUCAAUGAGCCGUUAAUCAGGAUAUAUAGUACUAUAUGGUGUGACAAUAAUUAAAGUUGUGCAUAUAUAUAUACUGUAUAUGCAUAUGCUUUUCCAAAUGUGUGGAUUCUGGAAACUGGGAAUGAAUCAAUAUAUACUGUAUAUGCAUAUGCUUUUCCAAAUGUGUGGAUUCUGGAAACUGGGAAUGAAUUAUACUCCUAUGAAAUAAGGCGUUCCUUGUAUAUAGCAGCAAGAAAGCCAGCUUCUAUUUGGUAUGUUGUGUAUCCUAUAUAGUAAAGUGAGAAAGGAAAUAAAAUGUGUGGUUGUUUUAAUAAAGUGAUGAUUAUUGUGUUAUAUAUCGUUUUAUAUCUUAUAAAAUUCCCUGAUUAUUUAUACACAGUUAUGUCUUACAAAACGAAAUAAUUCUUGAAGAAGUUUUUGAAUUCCAACUUGACAUGAAUCAUGUUUUCGAUCGUGUUAGGGUGAGUUUGGUACGAUUUCAUAAGAGUGUUCUUAGUUUGUGUUGAUGCACAAAAUCAGUGAAGAUUUUGGUACAACAGAAAGUGUUAAGUUUGUGACAUUCGCUAGAUUGCUCCGGUCACUAGUGUGGAUAAGUAUGUAAAUGAAUGGAGAUAGGGAAACAAACACAAGAUGUACGUGGUUCACCCAGAUUGGCUAUGUCCACGGAGUAGAGGAGUUCUCAUUAGGGUUUACACAAAUACAUAGGUUCAAGCUCUCCUUUUGUGAGUACUAGUGAAUAAUUUAGUACAAAUGACAUUAGGGAUUAUUGUGGAAGAAUGAUCUCCUUUUAUAAAAGAGAGUUUCUAGCUUUGUUCUGGCCUUGACACAUGUCAUGCUGUGAUUGACCUUUGAUGUUGACACGUGUCGCUUUGUGAUUGGCCCAUUGAUAUUGAAACGCGUUGCACUGUGAUUGGCCUUUUGGUUGGAGGAAAACUCUUCUGGGUCCUUGACGGUAUAACGUUGACCGGUGCUUGGUAGUUUCGAGAUUGGUCAAGUAUGGUACAAAUAAUGCUCCCCUAAGUAGAUGUGGCAUCUUCUGGGUCCUUGUGGUAUCGUUUUCACUUGCCUUAUCUGUCUCAUAAGUAGAUGUGGCAUCUUCUCUGGAAAUACUUUUCCUCCAUCCAGGGAUGGUAUCUUUAAACGAUGGAGAUGCACAAGGUAAUGUAAUGUAUCAAUUUCACUUGAAGCUUACUUGUAGUUUCGGGCUUGGUCAAGCGCGAUACAAACCCUAUAGUAGUAGUCUUCCAAGUCUCUGAGCGAGGAGAUCUGUCGAAAGAGGUGACAUACAAAGUAAGCAAUCAGAGUUUCAACAGUCAGUCUUAGAUCGAAAGUUUGAUCUCGUGUUCCAGUUGAUUGUUCUCCUUCUCCUUGUUCUGUAGACAUCAACAAGGACAAAGAAAAGGAUAUAGAGAAGAGAUGAUAUGAGAUAUUUUUGCUUUUGAAGAAGUAACUUUCCACAGGCUUAUUCUUGAACUGGGCUGAAGGGUUUUCUAGUUUCCUCCAGAGUAUAAUGCUGACUCAAGAAUUUGAAGGUCAAAACAAGUCUAUCAAAUCAAGAGUGUGUUCGACCUUGAUGAUAUGGGAUAUUUUUUUUGUUGACAAAGUAAUAGAUGAAUCGGCACGUGUUAUAUUGCGCUUGUCUCCACAUGCUUCCUUGUAUUCUUCUCACUUGCCCUAUCUGUUCCUCAUGCAGAUGUGGUAUCUUUUCUAAAAGCAUAAGAUGUUAAAGAUAAAUACUCGAGAGCAAUGCCAGGUAAGUAAUUAGGCAAGGAGUUCCUAACUGGAAGCUUGAUUCCAAGUGCUGAUUGAUUGCUCUCUUUCUCUUUGUCUUACAGGUAAGAACAAUGGCAAAGGAAAAGACAGGGAAAAACAUGAUAUGGGAUACUCUUGCUUUUAACCUUGAUGAUAUGAGAUGUUCUUGCUCUGGUGUGGCUUGUUUGCAGAGGUAUUAUUGGGGGGAAAAGAAGUUGAGUAUUUUGAGAGACUAUGCUAAGAGUGCCCUUUCGGAUGUGAAGAAAAGUUGAGCAUUUUUUUUAUUUGCAGGUCUGCCUGGCUAUAGAGGAUGAAUGUCGACAUAUAUAAGAAUUGUCCUAACAGCCUGUAGUAACGUUGUUCCUUUACCCUUCUCGAUCAUAGCAAUAUAGUGGGAGCUGCAAGAUUCACAUGUUUUAACUUUGUCAGAGCACUUUGAAAAAGUGGUCUGUGGUAUCUAAAAAACUGAUGUUGCGUGUGAAGAUUUCAUACAAGCUUUAUCCAAGGAAAUCUAGCUCUCGAAGUUUGGAGAGCGGUGCCUCUUCGAUUUUCGAACAAGCAAUCUUGUCGGGGAUCUGGCUCUCGAGAUUCGGAGAACAGUGCCUUUUCAAUUUUUGAGAAAGCAAUCAUGUUGGGAGUCUGGCUUUCGAGAUUCGGAGAGCAGUGCCUCUUCGAUUUUUGAGAAAGCAAUCCUGUUGGGAGUCUUGACUUUCGAGAUUUGGAGAGCGAUGCUUCUUAGAUUUUUUAGAAAGUAAUCAUGUUGGGAGUCUGGUUCUCGAGAUUCGAAGAGCGAUGCCUCUUCCAUUUUUGAGCAAGUAAUCCUGUUGGGAGUCUGGCUCUCGAGAUUCAGAGAGCGGUGCUUCUUCGAUUUUUGAGCAAGUAAUCCUAUUGGGAGUGUUUUCUCGAAUGUGAGUAAAUGUUGGGCAUUUUUGCCAGUCUGCUUUGCCACUGAUCACGAAGGUUGACACACAUAGGGACUUUCCAGUUAUUAAGCAGUGAUGCUGUUCCUUUACCCACGUGGGUAAUAGUAGGGUAGUUGGACCUUCAAAAUUUAUGUGCCUAAAUUUUGUCAGAGAUCUUUGGCAAAGUUAUUUGUGGUACCUGAGAAGCUGAUGUUACGUGUGGAGAUUGUCGACAAAUUUUACUCAGGAAAAUCUAUUUCUCGAAGUCCGAAGAGUGGUGCCUCUUCGAUUUUUGAACUAACGGUCAUGUUGCCCUUUCUUUUAUAGGGCACCAAUUGUGUGCAAGAAGUACGUUCAGAGAGUUAUUGCUUGUAGGAAUUUUCCCCUUAUUUUUAUAAUUCACAGAUUUAUUGGACUUCAUUUCUCCUUCAUCAUUUCUGAAAAUGUCUGGCCCAUCUGAUCGUCGUUUUGACUUGAACUUUGAUGAAGAGGCAGUCAUGCCUCCUCAAGACAACAUAUGACGCCCAUCCUUCUUAUCCCUUACUGGUCAUCUUACCGUUGAGGACUCUGUAAUGAAGAAUGAUAUGAUUGUUGCGGUGGUGGCUAGGAACCUUCUCAUUCCCAAAGAUAACAGACUACUUUCAAAACGGUCUGAUGAGUUGGCUGUUAAGGAUUCUCUUGCUCUCAGUGUUUAUUGUGCAGGUUCUAUGUCUAAUAUGACCUAACGCUUAUUUGCUCGAACCCGUCAAGUUGAAUCAUUGGCGGCUGAAGUGAUAAUUCUCAAACAGGAGAUCAGAUGGCUCAAGCAUGAGAAUAAACAGUUGCAUAGGCUAGCACAUAACUAUGCUACAAACAUGAAGAUGAAGCUUGACCAGCUGCAGGAAUCUGAUGGUCAGAUUUUACUUAAUCAUCAGAGGUUUGUGGGUUUGUUCUAAAGGCAUUUAUUGCCUUCAUCUUCUGGGGCUGUACUGCAUAAUGAAGCUCCAAAUGAUCAACCUUCGGUGCCUCCUCCUUCUGGGGUUCUGCCUAGUACUGAGACUCCUAAUGAUCACCCUCCGGUGCCUCAUCUUUCUGGGGCUCUGCCGACUGCGGAGACUUCUCCUGAGCAACCUUUGUGAAGGCUCUAUCUUGUUUGUUUAUUUUGAUUCAUGUUUAUGUACAUAUUUGUAACUUAUCGGAGGUAUCAAUAAAUAAGCUUUACUUCAUUUCAACGUAUUGUGUUAAAUAUACCAAGGUCUCCCUCACUAAGUUCUUUGAUUUUUUUUCUUUUGUUGAAGCUUGUAUGUUGAAACUUUAUGAGUGAAGUAUGUAGGUUGAGGUAAUGCUCCCUUAAUUUCCCGAGUAAGGAAAACUUUUCGGUUGGAAACUUGAAAAAUUCAAGUCACUGAGUAGUCGUGAAACUUCCAAAUACCGAGGUGUAGUAGCAUAUGGUAGAAGUCCCCCACGUCUUCGGUCAAGGGAGUUGAUAAAGGAUGUGUCUUGCUAGUAGUCAAGUUUCCAAAGUAAUAAAAUUUCACCAUUUUCCUUUCUAAGUGGUAGCCCAAAACUCCUCAUUCAUAUAUAUUUGUUAUGAAAGUUGUUAGGCCUAAAGAAGAUGAGGCCUAGGCCUUUAUAGGUGAAGCUUUGUAGGUGAAACUUUGGUGUUAAAGCUUUGUAGGUGAAGAUUUAAGGUUGAAGUUUUGUUGGGUACCAUGAAUUGAUUUUGCUUCACACUAUCUUGAUCAAGAAUGUGAAGCUUUUGGCAUUUGUAGUUGAAGCUUUGUAGGUCAAGCUUUUGUGUUGAAGCUUUGUAGGUGAAGCUUUGUAGGUGAAGCUUUGAAGUUGAAGCUUUUGUAGGUGAAGCUUUUGUAGGUGAAGAUUUUGUAGGUGAAGCUUUGUAGGUGAAGAUUUUGUAGGUGAAGCUUUGUAGGUGAAGCUUUGGAGUUGAAGCUUUUGUAGGUGAAGCUUUGAAGUUGAAGUUUUUGUAGGUGAAGCUUUGGAGUUGAAACUUUGUAGGUGAAGCUUUGGAGUUGAAGUUUUGUAGGUGAAGCUUUGGAGUUGAAGUUUUGUAGGUGAAGCUUUGGUGUUGAAGUUUUGUAGGUGAAGCUUUUGUGUUGAAACUUUUGUAGGUGAAGUUUUGGAGGUGAAGCUUUGUAGGUGAAGCUUUUGUGUUGAAGCUUUGUAGGUGAAGCUUUGUAUGUAAAGCUUUGGAGUUGAAGCUUUUGUAGGUGAAACUUUUGUAGGUGAAGCUUUGGAGUUGAAGUUUUUGUAGGUGAAGCUUUUGUAGGUGAAACUUUUGUAGGUGAAACUUUGUAGGUGAAGCUUUGGAGUUGAAGCUUUUGUAGGUGAAGCUUUGGAGUUGAAGCUUUUGUUGGGUACCAUGAAUUGAUUUUGCCUCACACUAUCUUGAUUAAAAGUGUGUGAAGCUUUUGAGAAUUGUAGUUGCCCUCCAUUUGUUGAAGCUUUUGUAGUAAAGAUUUUGUAGGUGAAGCUUUGAGGUUGAAACUUUGUUGGGUACUAUGAAUUGAUUUUGUUUCACACUAUCUUGAUAAAAAAUGUGUGAAGUUUUUUAGAAUUGUAGUUGCCCUCCAUUUGUUGAAGCUGUUGUGGUGAAGUUUUGGUGUUGAAGCUUUAUAGGUAAAGCUUUGAGGUUGAAGCUUUGUUGGGUACCAUGAAUUGAUUUUGCUUCACACUAUCUUGAUCAAGAGUGUGUGAAACUUUUAAGAAUUGUAGUUGCCCUCCAUUUGUUGAAGUUGUUGAAUUUCCCAAUUUCCCAAUUUGAAGCUUCAAUUGUAGUUGCCCUCCAAUUGUUGAAGUUAUUGAAAAUGUGGGAAAGACAACAUAUACAAAUUUUGCUUCCACACUAUUGAGCAAAAGAUUGUGCUGUAAAUCACACCUUAUAGUAGUCGAAGGUUUGGAUGAACCAUAUAAAUUGAAUUUGCUUCGAACAGUUGUGAUCAAGAGUGUAUGAAGCUUUCUACGAGUUGUAGUGUUUGUAUUGUUGCAGAGGAAAAAUCUCUGAAGCAGAUGUAAGAGGGCUGAAGAGCUUAAUCUUCGUAUACCAUGCACUGAAGCCGUUGUUGGCUUGUAAUAAGACUUUGUUGGUGACUAUAACUCUUGUUAGGCAUAAGUGUUCCCCUAGUUGAGUUGUAAAGUUUAAGGGUUUUUUUAUUAUUUGUGAAUGCUAAGAGUUCACAUGUACAAGUUGUACCACUCGUCUUCUGGUUGGUGGAAUGAAUGGUGAGUUGCUUUCAUCACUUGGUUGGUGGUAUGAAUGUGAGAUCCUUCAUCACCUUUCAUCACAUUUCAUCACCUGGUUGGUGGCACGAAGAUGAGUUCCUUCUUCACCUGGUUGGUGGCACGAAGAUGAGUUCUUUCUUCACCUGGUUGGUGGCAUGAGUGGCAAGUUCCCAAAUGAUAUUAGAGUACGGGUUGUACAUUUCAUCACCUGGUUGGUGACAUGAAGGAAAGUAUGGGUUGUACAUUUCAUCACCUGAUUAGUGGCAUGAAGAUAAGUUCAUUCCUCACCUGGUUAGUGGCAUGAGUGGCAAGCUGCCAAAUGAUAUUAGAAUACGAGUUGUACAUUUCAUCACCUGGUUGGUGGCAUGAAUGAGAGUACGGGUUGUACAUUUCAUCACCUGGUUGGUGGCAUAAAGAUGAGUUCAUUCUUUACAUUUCAUCACUUGGUUGGUGAGAAUAAGGGCAAGGUGUCGAGGCACAUUGUAGCAAGUGUUGAAUGACACAAAGUAUGUUGAACCCUUUCGAAGCACAGUUGCCUUAUGUGUGGAUGUGUUGGAAUGUAUGAUGUUUAUGUAUGAAUGUGUUAGAAUGUAUGAUGUUUAUGUUGAUUGACAUGAGUGAUGCUUAUGAAUGUUUUGUUAUGCAUGAAGGGAUCCAUGCUUUCGAUAUGUGAACCAUGUUGGUUGUAACACUUAAUAUCAUAUACUUUAUGUCAAAGUACGCAUGUUGAAGCUCUGAAUUGGGGUAUAGGGGUAGGUCAGUGUAGACCAAGUGUUCCAGUGCUAGGAAUGCAAAAGACUCAGAAGAAGUUGUCUGAAUUUCUUCUUCUUUAAAUAUUUGUCGAAUGACUUGUGUGACAAAAGAUCUCAAGCGGUUGAGAGUCAAAACAUUUGUAAUAUGUAUGCCUUCUUAUAAUAUCAUUUCCUUUAGUACCUAGUCCUCCACUUUGAAAGAGUGAAGCUUGGCCUCAUAGUCAUAAUAGUUGAUAAUACGUUCACCCUUGAUUGUCUUGAUACGAACUUUUAUCCCGCUUGUUGUAAUGGGCUUGCUGAGAGUAAAAAUCAUUCCUAUUACCAAGAGUCAAAUACAUUUGGUGACUUAGCGAGUAGCUAAAUGAGGCAGAAGAUGAUGCAGUGGGUGUCUGAAUGGCCAAUAUCUCCUCACUUAGUAGAACUUGACUUCCACUUCCCACUUGUUGAUAGGGGUUAACCAUAUGAGGGUUCCCUUAGUAUGUCCUUACUUCGUCGAAUGCGUGGUUAUAAGCAUGUGCCAUCACCUCAGAGUAAGUCUUCCAAGUGUUGGCAUUUAUCAUGUGCUUGAAGAAACAAUCACGUAGGCCUGCCGUGAAGGCUUUGAGUGCGGUCUUGUCAUUUGCCUCAGCGCAGCGAGAAUACUCAUGGCUGAAUCGACCGGCAUACUAUCGUAGUGACUCGUAUGGCUUCUGGUGAAUAAUGUACAAGUCAUCUGCAGAAUGUAAGUGAUCGGUCUGGAAGAUGUGUCUCGGGUGGAAAACGAUAAUACCAGUUUAGAGCUCCGCCAGAGAGGGUGGAAGGGAAGAGAAGACAUCGGUUUUCGUCGGUGUGCAUCUGAUAUGCCAUGGUGGACUCAAAGAGGUUAAGGUGUUCAAUCGGGUCCUCUAUUCCAGUAUAGAGUUGUAAACCAAGCUUUUGUUUUAUCUUCGCUUAAAGGGGGUGUCGAGGAUCCUCCUUGUGAGAGGGCCAGGCCUGGGUUGGUUCCAGUCAGGUAUCUCGACCUGAUGUUCGGCCUCAACUUGUUUACUUCCUCAAGGAGUUGUAGGAUAAAUGGGUCCUGAGUGAAGUCAUGUACCACUGGAAUUUUCUUCCGUAAGUCUCCAUCGUCUCUCGGAAGUAGGAAAGUUUGAGCAAGAGAAUGUGAUUUUUCCUUGGACUCGCCGUACUGACUUCUAGGGCGAAUCUGUCGGAAUACCUCCAAGCCCCAUGUACCUUCAUAUUCCUCUAGGACUUGUCGUUCCUUCCUUAGAUGGGCAGCUGGCCUGGGUUGUGAGAGGGAACUGAGUUUUUCAGAAACCCUUGGAUAAUUGAUCUUCGAGCUUAUAUGGAAGGGAUUCUCUUGACGUUGCUUUAGAAAGUCUCGGCAGUUACGAUAAAGGGCUUUCGAUCCUUCCAACCCUUCUGCAAGGAGGAUCUUCCUCAACUUUUCCUGCUUCGGGUCGAAGCAGUUGGGUUGAGAGAAGUCUCAUGUUGAUCAAUGUUUUGAUGAUUAGCUCGCUUCUCAUCAGGGAUACCUAUGUCGAAGGAAGGUGACCCUUCGUGUUAAGGGCACCCAAAUGAUGGUUGAUGUCCACAGGGGCAACAAGCUUGCGUGUUUGAGUACGCCUAGUUUCGUGGAACGUUUCGAAGAGCUUUUCAUAUUGUUCUUGGAGGAACUCAUUCUUUAUUGCUAUCUUGUUGUUUUAAGCCUUCAGCUUAUCGACUUUAGCUUGAAGAACGAGCUUAUUUCAUUCCUUCUUUCGUUGCUUCGCACUAGGUGCAAGAUGAGUAUCAUAUUGUGUGCCGUGGCUUCCUCUGCUCCCCAUGUUGGAGAGGGAUGCCUGGUCAAAAGAGAGUGUACGAAUGAUGGAAACCAGCUUGACAAAGCUGAAGAGAGUAGGAAUAACUGUCGUUCCCACAGAUGGCGCCAAAUGUUGAUGCACAAAAUCAGUGAGGACUUUGGUACAACAGAAAGUGUUAAGUUUGUGACAUUCGCUAGAUUUCUCCGGUCACUAAUGUGGAGAAGUAUGUAAAUGGAUAGAGACAGGAAAGCAAACAGAAGAUGUACGUGGUUUACCCAGAUUGGCUACGUCCAUGGAGUAGAGGAGUUCUCAUUAGGGUUUACACAAGUACAUAGGUUUAAGCUCUCAUUUUGUGAGUACUAGUGAAUGAUUUAGUACAAAUGACAUUAGGGAUUAUUGUGGGAGAAUGAUCUCCUUUUAUAUAAGAGAGUUUCUAGCUUUGUUCUGGCCUUGACAUGUGUCAUGCUGUGAUUGGCCUUUGAUGUUGACACGUGUCGCCCUGUGAUUGGUCCCUUGGUGUUGAAACGUGUUGCUUUGUGAUUGGCCUCCUGAUUGGAGGGAAACUCUUCUGGGUCUUUGACGGUAUAACGUUAACCGGUGCUUGGUAGUUUUGGGAUUGAUCAAGUAUGGUACAAACAGUUUGUUAUUCUCACCUGCAUAAUUUCUCAUCCACCUGUAAAUAAAAAUAUUAAUGUCAAUUCAUGCUGUUGAGAGUAUCCCCUUUUGUGGGUUACAUCUAUAUAUGUCCAAGUUUAUAUUGCAUGGCCUUAUUUUUUUACAGCGCCAAGGGAGAUGCCAAAGUUGCCAACUUGUUUCGAAGAAACAGAAGAAUGAAAGAGCUAAAAAAACAAAUCCACAACUCCUGGGAAAACCAGAGGUGAAUAUUCGACGUCGUUGCAAACUUGCAAUAUUCAGUUUCUUUAUUGUAUUUUUGUACAAUAUCCAACAUCAUGUGCAAUAUCCGCUAACCCUAUCUUGGCAAUGUGUUCAAUGAGUGUUUUCUGCACACCUGGGUUUGAAAUUUCAUCAUGUUUGAUAUGGUGCUAGUAUUUCUAUUUAUACAGGUACAGGUAAUUAGUGCAGUAUAUAUCUUCUCAGGGAUAAAUUUCUUAUCAAAUGUCUGAACUAGGGUUGUACAGAAUCAUGAGCUUGUAGACAGUUAAUUUUCAGAUUUAUUUUCCUUGCAAGUUGAGUGUGUGAUUUGAGUUGGCAGUGUGAAUCCCACAUCGGAGAUUUAAAGAAAUUUGCAUGUGCUUAUAAGGGGUGGGUUAGUUCUCCUAUUGCCAAUUAGUUUGACGAUGAAACUUCUACUUCUCGUACAUUAUCUGAUGUUAUCCACAUGCGCUCACAUCACCACGUCACCCAAUAUGGUUGUGCACGUUUUAGGCUUAAAUAUGACAAAAUAUGAUUCUUAUACGUAACCUACAAAAAGGAAGAUUUAAACAUGAGAGCUCAAGUGCAUAAGCGUAUGCUCUUAAGUCACCAAUUGAGCUACAAGGCACGUGCAACCUGCAACAUCUAAUUCACUUUUAAAAUUGAAAUGGUUGAUGUGUGGGAUUAAAUUAUUCUAUCAACUUCAAAAUUGCCCCCAUUCCAUGAUGCCACUUGUUUUUCUUAUAAAUAACACAACACAUGGAAUGCAUAUUGAACAUUGGUGAGAAGUAAGAUUAAAAUCAUAUCAAAGAUCGAUCCGCGCCAGCAAAUACAUGCGCUACGGCUACAUGCAUCAAGAAGUGAACAAUUAUAACUUGCGUGAACAGCCCGAAGAGAGCAAACGUUAGACAGAAGUUACUCUGCAUGCGAGUAUAGAAUGCUGUUGCAGUUUGGAAAGCACCGAGGACUACCAAAGAACAGUACUAUACACAUCAGGCUACGUAUUUAUUCUUGGCACCUCUCUCCUGUCUCAUCGCAUCCUCCUGCAAAAAACCAGAGCAUAAAGGGUGUUACUUAUUUACGAGGCCCCCAACAUGACACAAAACGGAAUAGAAUAACGAAUAAUAUACGUAAGAAACAACAUCCUUACAUGAAAUAUGUAUCCAAUAGUUUCAUUGUAAUCCAGAAACCCCUUCCAUUGUUUCCCAAUGCUCAGCUGCAGCAAGAAAGUGGCUAUGAGACAUCAUUGCAACUUUCUUUACCAGAAUGCAACUCAUAGCUAUAAAUACAAUAAGUGCACGUAAUUUGACUGUCAUAUUCUCAAAGAAAGGGCCUGUUUCCACGCUCGGUGUUUGGAGUAGGCUAUAAGUCCGGCUCAACAAAUUUAAGUUAUGUACAAAAUAGAUUCCUAUAAACCAUUUGGCCCUAGCAGCCAAGUGGCCACCUUCUUGUUUUAUAAAAGACCUUAUAUUUGACUAAAGAGGAAAGCAGUUGAAUUGCCGAGGGUCUUGACAGAUUUAGGGACAGGAAGAAACAUAGAUUGAUCAACUUUACGAAUAAUUCUUUCUUUCUUCCUUGCAGCCGGGAGGACUAAAGCAACACGAACAAAAAAAAUCCUAUGCUAUAAAUAAACAGGAAAUCUUUCCUUCUGCUAAAGCAACAAACCCAUAAAUGUGAUGUGUGAAAUUCUAUCAAAUGUAAUGAUACAAAAGUUUUAUAAUUUUCAACUUUUAUGUAUGUAAUGUGCCUUCGUGCAAUACACAACAUAUAGGGAGUCAAUCAGCAAUUACCUGAGCAGCUUCAUUUGCUGCAUUCUUGGUCCAAAGAGAUAUUUUUUCUUGCCUAGGUCUGACAUUGACAACUGCUCCACAGAUUUCAUCGCCAUGAUCAAACUGUUCUCCAAUUAUUGCUAGCAACUGAUACCAGAAAAUACAACAAUUAGAGGCCCACACACACGCACGCACGCAUGCACACAAAUAUACACAUAUCAAUUCACCCUCAAAUACCACUUUCAGUUUAGACCAUACCGUAUACAACCAAGAGGUAUCAGAUUUCCCUUUAGGAUAAGUGACAGUCCACUUUCCUCCAUUAGCACAAACAGGAUCCUCCCACUUUGGCUCAAUUUUGUAUUUGAAACAAUGGAAAUCCGUCCCCACAUUCAACUUGCUCGGAUGAUGUAUAUUGUUGUAAAUGCUGAAUGCAAAACAAAUAUUAUGAGCAAAUUUGAGUCCCUAUAAAGAAAGAGGAACAGAGGCAGACAUGCAAGUAAUUCUCAUUCCAUACAGUUUUUUUACAAAAUAUUUUGGAUUUAGAUGUCCUUAUGAAAAAGGAACCAAAGAGUUUGCUAUACAAGCGGUUUAUUACCUCAAAUCCCACAACAGAAAUACUACCGUGCUGGCUUAAAUAACAUUACUUGGAUUGCAAACAUCUACACUGAUACAUUUCGAAUCACCCCAAAGAUCUACGUAAACCGCUUCUAGCAAUUAUUUCAACGCUGUGUGAAAUCAACACGUGGAUGUAGAAAUAGACACAUUCAAUUCCCAAAUCAACUAGGAGUGAACCUGAUGAAAUAUGACUCUAUAUAUCCAGAUCAGGAGUAAUCGGGGAACCUCUAAAGUCCCAGUAUAACAGGAAAUCAAGAGACAAAUGCAACGCCAGAUUCAACACAAGAUUUCUAGGCUAACUACUUUACAAUCUCACUAAUUCUGGCAGCAUUCAUCGUUGCUAAAUCAAUCAAGGAGGCUACAGAAGAGACACAAGCAACCAAAAUCGACACAAACAACCCAAAACAUUUAUCUCAAACAGAACCGAGUAACAAAUUUACAGAAAACAUAGGAAAAGAAACGAAAACAUUGGGGGCACUAAGAAAAUGUAGGAAAACAAAAGAAACCAAAAUCUCAAACUUUAACGGUGGGGAAGCAAAUUAUCACUCUGAAUCACAGAGCAGUCCCGUUAGUUCCAUAGUUUCCAAUUUCUAGGUUUACAAUCGAUACGAAACCAAAUCCAUUUCCUUUACAAAAAAUCGCCAAAUUUGUUUUAUCACAAACUAAAGCAAGCACAUAACAAACGCAAAAGAUUCAAUCUUCUAUCAGUUUUCCUACCAACCAAACAAAAUUGAACCCAAAAACAGAGGAAAUGAAAGAAAUUAACCUCCAGAACUCCUCGACGGUAGAGAAGGUGUAGAUCGGGCGGAUGGAGCUGCCCCAAUCCUCCUGCUUGGACUUGGCGGACUUGGCGGCGGGGCUAUCGAACCAGAAGGUCCAGGAGUGCUCCAGAGGGAGUGACUGCGGCGCUAUUCCUUUCGACGGCUUCGAAGACGCCGAAUCUUGGUCGCCGACGAUCUCUCCUUCUUCGGGCUCGUCGUCGUCCUCCCUCGGUGUAGGGUUCGCCUCGGUCUUGGCCUGAUCUUCGGAAGCUGAAGUCUUGGGUGCGUCUUCGACCACCAUUGUUAGGGUUUGCUGAGGAGUUUAUUGAUCUCCCUCUUUUCUUUCUCUCUCGGCGUUUCUUGUGCGAAAUGUGAAACACUUGCGUUUCGAUAACAUUCGGGAAAAUUCUCUGAUCCUUUUUAUAUGUUUCGCCGCGGGACUCUAGGACCAUCUCCAAUCCAUCCAAUAAAGGAUUACAGAACUAAAAAUAAUAGUUCAGAAUGAUACGAAAAUCGCCUUCAAUCGAAGGCUAGGUUAAAGGGUUUGUGAAUUUCAUCGGACCCAAACCCCCCACAUCAGGCCAGCAGGUUGGCCAUUUCUAGCUAGCCAGCCAGGCCAUCAGCUCAGCCCAUUUGAAUGUCAACUCCUAUCUGGCGUCAGCAUAACGCCAGCUCGCUAACGUCAUGCUGCCAUUAGGUUACUAUUAGAAUUUGAUUUUUUUAUUGGACAAAUUUUAAAAACAAAAAAAUUAUAAUUUUUUUUCCUAUAAAUACCUACACCAUUCCUACAACAUUGAAAGCUGAAGAUAAGAAGUACCGCGUAGAUAAGAAUCUUAUCUAAAAUUGUGCACAACCAAUUACAUCUUGCCACGUGACACUCGAAAUCAUAUCUGAAAAAUUAUUAAGAAUAAACAAAGAUAAGAAAUCUGGAGAGUUACUCACUUUAGCGACAUGUGUCGCUUGAAAAUAAUAUCCACAAAAUUAUUGAGAUUACAUAAAGAUAAGAAAAGAGAGUUACUCACGUUAGCAACACGUUUCACUCAAAAUCAUAUUCAAAAAAUUAUAGAGAUUAUAUAAAGAUAAGAAAUCCGAAAGCUUAUUCAUUUGGCGACAAAUAGUACUCAAAACAUGUACAAAAACCUUAUUUUAAUACGGUAGUUUAAUUUAAUUAACCAUAUUAAUUUAAUUAAAAUAAUAAAUUUUAUUUGGCUUAUGGCCCUUUGGCCCCCUCGGUUGGAGAUGAUAUAAAAUAUGACAUAGCACUGUUUAUUAAAAUAUAAUUUAUUGCAAGACUAUAGGGCUAAAAUGGGCCAUUUGGCCAUUCUUCGGUUGGAGAUGACCUAAGGGGUGUAUUCAAUUAGGAUUUUGAGGGAUUUUAAUUCUCUUAAUGAAUAUAAGGAUAUUCAAUUAGGAUUUUAAGUGAUUCUCUAAAAUUUAAUGUAUAUUCAAUCAAGAUUUUUAAAUAGUUUAUUAAAAUCUUUAAAAAAUCUGGGUUUAUUCUAUUAAAAUUUUAAAGAAGUUUAUAACAUUUCAGGUGUAUUCAAUUAGAAUUUGAUUUUAAAGAAUUUGAAAAAGUUGAGGAAUUUGAGAGAAUUUGAGAGAUUUUGUAGUGUAAUUUAAGCAUCCACAAAUCUCACAUCUUCCCAUGAGAUUUCGAGGGAAUUAAAUCAAAAUUUUACAUAUAAUCUCUACAAAUCAAUUAGAUUCCAUAAAAAUCCAUGGAUUUAUAAAUCCAUUGAAAUCUCUCAAAUUUCCAAUUGAAUACAACCAAUGUGUAUUCAAUUAAGAUUUUAAGAUAGUUUAUUAAAAUUCUUAGAAAUCUAGGUGUAUUCAAUUAAGAUUUUAUAGAAGUUUAUAACAUUUCUAUGUGUAUUUAAUUAGAAUUUUAUUUAAAAAAAAUUGAAAAUGUUGAGGAAUUAGAGAGAUUUCAGUGUAUUUUAAGCAUCCACAAGUCUUACAUCUCCGAUAAGAUUUCGGGAGAAUUGAAUCAAAAUUUUACAUGACAUCUCUACAAAUCAAUUAAACUCUAUAAAAAUCCACGAAUUUAUAAAUUCAUUUAAAUAUUUUAAAUUCUCAAUUGAAUACACCCCUCUAAGUUUUAGCACUUAACACGUGUUGGAUAAUCAGGCAAUCUACAAGGCUCAGAUUGUGGAAAUGGUGGUGGGAUGGCCCAUAAAUGCUCACAAUAGUCAUUGAAACUGGUAUAAUCCUCAUUUUGGUUUCUGACAUUGAAAAUCGAUGAAAAUGAUUUCUAGGUUUGUCUAUCGUUAAUCACUUUGGUCUUUCCACGAAAAUUCUUUACCAAAUGCAAAAGUAAGUGAAAGAGUUGAUUGGACAAAAAUAAUCACAAUUUAACAGAUUUUUCACGAAUGACCAAAAUAAUUUACGGUGAACAAACUCAGAACAAUUUUUAUCGAUUUUCAAUGCCAGAACCAAAGUGAAAUAUUAUGUCAACUCAGAGACUAUUUUAACUAAAAAACCUUGAUUAUUUUUAGCUUCUAAAUUUAAAAAUUAAAAAUAAUCGCAUGUAUAUAAAAUAUAGGACAAGAAUCACUUAUUUUCGUAUCUCAACAGGGUUGAGUCAAAAGAGAAAUUCUUCUCAGUCUGGACUACCGAACCACUAAGCCCAUCGAACCACAUAUUAUAUAGCAUUAUACAACUCUGCCCAAGAACAUUCCAUGAGAGAGAGAGAGAGAGAGAGAGAGAGAGAGAGAGAGAGAACAAUAUCAUUUUCGUUCUUUAAGAUAGAGAACUAAUAUAUAUAUAUAUAUAUAUAUAUAUAUAUUAUAUACGUGUAUUCAGUCAACAUGUCCACUACUGGAAGACUAUUUACAUCGGUCUCUCUUUCCCUCUCAGCAGACUAAUAUGAAACAUCUCGAGUGAGAAAAAUAGAGCGCACACAAAUAAUAGCAGACCGACGGAAACCACCGCGGAUCAAACGAUCUCUCCUUCCUCCCCAUCCCCGUACAGCGUUGAUUCAUCGUUGUCGUCGUCGUCGUCUCCUGAAUAUUCGGGCUUUAGAAAUAAACCUAGCUGCUCCAAAGGUGAUUGGGGAUGUGACCCCCCGAAAGCCCCAGACCCACGAUUAAAGUUGAGAAUAGGAGCGGAUACGGAGAACCCAGCAAACCUUCCAAGUUCCUCUAGGAUCUUCAAGCUUGUCUCGAUCUCAACUGUUUGCCUCAUCUGGAUAAGGGAUUAUAUUAAAGUCAGACCACAAAGGCGAAAAACGAGACAACAUUCAUGCAAGAACCCGUAAAAACUUUAAACCAAAGGUAAACCUUCUCAAGUGCAAUUCGAGCUUCUUCUCUUUUUCUUUCCCGUUGCUGCUUCAACUCAUUCUCAGCCCUCAUUCGUGUGGCAGCUUCAGCAGCUCUUAUUUCUGCUUCGAUCCUUGCUUUCUCUGUAAUUAAGGUAAGCUUAAGACCAUCAAUUAUAGGCAGGUGGCAACAGGAUUAACAAGGAGAUCUUUGUCUGUGACUGAUGCACUGUAGUAUCUUAUGGAAUUAACAAUAACACUAAUUGAGAUAUUAAAUGUUUUCCACAGACAGGCUUAGGAGUAGGUGAAAGAAAGCAAUCAAUGCAAAAGGCUAAAGUCAGGGGGGUUGUAAACAAACAUAUCGAAAGCGAGCACUUUCUCGUUGCAAGUCACAAGAAAGGAAAAAAUACCAUCAGGCUAACAUAACAUGGUAUAACCAUUGGCUGCAGUUGCAUAAAAUAAAGAAUCUCCCAACCCAAAAUGAUGAAAUAAACCAUAGGAAGAAACAAAAGUAGCAUCGCUAGAAAAUCAAAACUAGAUUAUUUUCGGCAAAAAACAAGUUAUUUACCUUCACGCUGCUUCCUCUCCAGUCUAGCCCUUUCUUGCUGCAUCUUAAGCGGAUCACUUCUAUCACCCUGGAUAUAAGGAGGAAACGCUGGAUAAGCAAACCCAAAUGCUAAAAGCUAUCAAAUAAUCAUGUGAAAAUGUUCUAACACAGUAUCCAACAUGCUUUACAUGAUCUUGCUAAAAGUAAAAACUGAAGCUUACAUGAUCUAGAAGUUUCUGCUGUUGAGCUUUCCAAAUAGUGUCUGCAAAGCGACUCUUUAGCAUUGCAGCACGAAGAGCCCUUUUUGGGGACAGUUCAACAUCAAAAAGAGAAGUGCUCCAUCCUGAAAGAAAUGAGUACGACCACCCAAUUAGUAAGUCCAAAUAUGGCAAGCUAAAUAACCAGCGGUCAUACUUAAGUUUGGCAUUGCUAGUGAAGAUACUGACCUUCUCCAGAAGCAGCAUCCACUACUGGAGUUGUAAGCCUAGAACUGGAACAUAUGUUUUCACCAUCCAAAGCACUUACAGCCCCUUCAUAUAAUUUGCAACAUCAUAACAUCAUUCUGGAUCAGAUCACUAAAAAUAACUAAGUGGCUAAAUAUCUUAAUAUGCUGCGUCAUCUCACCAUCAGAUUCUGGAUCUGAUUUGAUCGUCUGGGAUGUUGACAAGCUUUUUGUUUGACAAUCCUAUAAUGGAAUAAAAGCUCCAAUUAGCGCUAAGAAACAUAAAAGUCCUCAUGAGAAAUGUCAACAGCAACAGAAGCAUCAUCAUACAUACCAGUCUGGGUACAGUAGAAUUAGACAAACCAUGCUCUCUGCCCAUUGACCUUUCAGAAGAUUUGUCUGAACCAGAAGAGAGAGAAAUAAAUCCAUUGUUCAACCAUAUACUAUAUAACAAGAAAGUUGCAGCAAAUGAAAAAAUAAUCUAACCAUUAAAGGACUUAUGGGUCGAGUCACUAGGACGCCUGCAUUGACAUGCAACGUUGCCACAUGAGCCACAUUUUAAGCAAACCAGGCUUGAUGGCUGCUUUGCAUUAAUAGAGCCUGAAGCUUGUUUACAGGCACUAUCGGUGCUUCUAUUUAAGUUCUUUGAUGACAAUUUGGGAUUAGAAUUCUGAGCUGUUUUAGAAAGCUCUGCCUAUCAACAAAAUAUACAUACAUUACUCAGGUAGAAAAGGAAAAUGCUCUUCAACAGCGUCAGCUUUUUAAAUAAUAGAACAAACGAGUAUACAGCAUUCAAGCCACCAUCUAUUAGCUGACAGGCUUAAAAUUCCAAAUUUUAUUUGUUUUUGAAGCAAUCCAGUACGCAUUAUUGUAAACAUAAAAAAUCACAAUUUCAUGGCUAUCACUUACCUCAGCAUCAGUUGCACCAACAGGGACUCUGACCUUCUCUUCACCUGAAAUAGGCCUCUUGCUCACCGAACUAUUUUGCAAGGGAGGAGAGUUGCAUGGAUUCUGUCUAGCACAAGUUACUUUCUUAAUUUGCCCAUUCGAUGGAUUCCCUGAUUCAACCUUGGAGCUUCCAUGACUCAACUUCUCAUCUAAAAGACCCCAUCUCAUCUCAAAAAAACUAUUCAGGUUUUCUGCCAGAUGAUGAAAAGGAUUGCCAGGAGGAUUAUAGAGCAUGGCAUUAGAAAAAGUCAGCCUGACAUCAGCUGCAAACUCUUCAGCGCUUAAGUACAAAUCUUUCUGCAGCUUUGAUUUUACCGUGCCCAAAUCCAUGGGAUAAGAGAUGAUGCGAAAGUAAUCUGGGAUUCCCAGCUUCACAGGAUCAACUGGUUCAUUGAAAGGCCAGCUUUCCUUUUUACUCAUCAGUGUUUUGAGGAUCGUCAAACAUUGCACCUUCACACUACGAUCAAUCUUCCUCUUCUUCUCUUUCUGACCCUCAAGAUCGCCUGAGGAUCCACGCUUCUUAGAACCUGGAAGUGAAGAUUUCGCCAUUGCGCUGACCUCCCUGAUUGAGGCAUGAUGCCCAUAGUCACACGAGUGACUCCUAGAGUAAUUAGUAUCAGCUUCAAAUUUUUUUCCAGGAUCAGCUUCAAUUCUUUUGCAGGCAAAUUUAAUCUUCAGCUUGUUGCUCGACAGCAUGGUUUUCGUGGCAAUCAUCGUAAGGAACUACGUGAACUCUCAAGAAAACCCAAACUUCAAGUUCUUAGACAAAUUUGUAUGGCCUCCUAAUACGCAAUAACGCUAAGAAUACCAGUUCCCUCUCACAAUAAAGGCAUGAAAAUCGCCGCUCUCUGCAGAAAAUAAGCGACGAAUAUUUUAAUAAUGUACAACAAGUGCACUACUUAACAGUUAAUAAGUAUACAGUAAAAGUUUAAAGAAAACAGGAACACUUGGUAUUUAGAUAAACCCCUCCACCUUUUUCCAUAAACUUUCAAUUGAAGUCCUCAAACUUAUGGAAUUCACUAACUAUAAUCAAGGGUCGUACCCAAAUUACUAAAUAAAAGUAAUUUACAGAACUUCUACACAAAUUAACCAGGCAUCAAACCCAAUUCAAAUCUGUUGACUUCCGAACUAUCUGAGUACGAAAAAUCACGCUGUUGACAUAAUAACGAAAUUUGACCCCAAAUACAACGUAAUUACUAAAACCCCAAAAACAUAAAACGCCAAAAAACCACAUACAAAAUCAUCACACCGACGGAAAAAUAAAAACCCAGAAACUAAAAGUAACAAGGAAGAAAAUCCAGAUCAAAACAACGACUAAAAACGCCAAAAAAACAAAUUGGGAAAUCAGAGGUCAAGGAUCGAAGGAGAACUCACCUGAAUCGAAUCGAAUCGAAACGAAAGUAGAGAGCAAAACAACCGGGAGAUCGUGCGUCGCGGCGAGAGCGAGAGGGCCGAAUAGCCCCCUCGCGGAUAUGGGGAUAGGAUGCAGGACUAGGGUUUUACAGUGAGAGGAGGCGUGGGAAGAAGAAGGGAGGGAGGGAGAGAGUGAGGGGUUAGGGCGAUCUCCCAAUACAGCGAGGAUUUAUAUUUAUAUUUUUUAAAUUUUAAAUACUCGCCGACUUUGAUUGGAUGGGAAUCAUGGGAUCUUUCUGCGCGAUAUUAAUUAGAUUUCGCCUUUCCCUUUUGUGAAUUUACCGUUUUGCCCUUUGACUUCCCUUGUUUCUGUUGGAAUCAAAGUUUCAUUUCUUCUCUUGGAUUGGGAAUUUGCAAUAUAAUUAUAUAUGUUAUUUGUUGUUCAUAUUUCCUUGUUAAAUUUAGGGAUCUGCUAUUCACAUACUCUAUUUUACUUUUUACACACCCCUUGUUAAUUUCUAUCCGUUGAUUUUCUUCAAUUCAUCCGAUCCGACGGUCGAAAACUAGAAGGGUGUGUGAAAAGUAAAAUAGAGUGUGAAUAUCACAUCCCUAAAUUUUAUUAGCAUUCAAUUAAAAAAAUUAAGAAAAAAACACUUAUCACAUAUUGUAUCAUCUCUUUAACAGAGGUAAAACCGACCAACAUAUGUGGGUCGGGAGUAUUUUUGUUCACCACCAUAAAUUAUAGUGUAUUGUCAUCAUACAUCUAAUCAUUCGUCAUGUGUCACGUCAUUUAGGUUUUGUUAACUUUUUUUUUCAAAAUUGAAAAAAUAAUAUUUAGUGUGAAAGUUAAUUUGAAUUAUGUGAACAGACACGUAAAUGAUUAGAUGUAUGAUAAGCAUACAUCAUAGUUUGUAAUGAAGAGCAGAAAUGCUCCAGACCAUGUAUAUUAGCCUUAGUUUGGAAGUGAGGUGCUUAAAAAAAAAGCACCCAUGAAAAAAAGCUGUGAGGAUUUUAGGUGUUUGGUAAACUGAAAAAAAGGGCUUGUUUUGGAAGCUGCUGUGAGAAUAAGCUGAAAUCAAAGGAAAAAGCUGAAGCUGCUAUUUGCAGCUUUGGAAAACUGGUUUUUUUUUAAAGCACAUCGAGCUACAAUGCUCCUUUAAUGAAAAGACCUACUAUCAGACUGCAUUUUUUUCCAAAAGCACUUUUACAAAAAAGUUUACCAAACACUCUGCUGCUUUAUUUCACAGCAGCUUAUUCUCACAGCACAGCCGCUUAUUCUCGCAGCAACUUUUUUUCAAAGCACAUCAAUACCAAACCAGCCCUUAGUCGGGAAAACAAGAAGGUAGCCGAACUCAAAAACCCUCCCUUUGCAUUGGUUGCUUUUCUCGUUGAUAAAAAACAAAUAGUAAAGGUUAACAACUCUCAAGCUCAAGACCCCACUAUCCCACCACAUAAACCCUUCAAAACAAAUAUUGGCUUACAUCACACUAGGGAGUACACUGUUGAGUUCCAAUCAAUUUACAACGACGCCAAAUGUUUUUAAGUUUCUCUAAAUGACGUCACAUGAUUGAUUUGGAACACAACCAUCCAUGUAAGCCCGUAACAUCAAUAAAAUCUCAAAUUCCGAACCAGAAAACCUUCACUGUUAACAAAUUAAAUUAAAACGGAAGAGCAACUUCUACAUGAAUGCAAAUUGAAACAUAAACAGUAGGAAUCAAGGCGAAGGCUGCAUUGGUACUCUAAUCUCAAUCUCAACUGAUAGUUAAAAUUAGUGUCACAAACGCAUCGACGUUUAACGUAAAACUAACAAAAACUUGAAACAAUUCAUCCAUAUUUGCUUUGAAGCUUCAACAACAUUCGUAACAUAACAGUACAGCCAAAACAAUGCAUUCAAAACAGCGAUGUUCCCUUCCCCUUCUUGUCUCCACCGAUUUCAAAGUGCUUGCACCUCUGCAGAAAAAACGCAUCGAAGUUUAGCGUAACGCGUUAGAUAUUAUCGAUAAUCUAAGGUAGACACCAAAUGGAGCAAAUUGCACCAUAUCACUAACCUUGAUCGGGUGCUGGGAUACAUGCUUGCAACCCUGGCAUUGGAGCCUCAGCACAAUCUUCUUAGUAGUCUUUGCCUGUUUAUCAACGUCAAAGUUAACGAUGCAACAAAUUUGAAAUCAAACAACCACAAGGGAUGAAUUAGGCUGUUGUAUACCUUCUUGUGGAAGACUGGUUUUGUCUGCCCACCAUAACCAGACUGCUUGCGAUCGUAACGACGCUUUCCCUGAGCAGCAAGACUAUCCUUGCCCUUCUUGUAUUGUGUGACCUUGUGCAAGGUGUGCUUCUUGCACUCCUUGCUCUUGCAGUAGGUCUUCUUUGUCUUGGGAACGUUCACCUGAAAAAUUACAACAUGGGUUAAAACGGAUUAUGAAAUCUGAUCAAAACCCAGAUACAGUAAGUUUCAAACAAAUCAAGCAGAAAAAUAUGUAAUCUUUAAACUUCUAAAAGAAAUCGAACAGAACAUCAGAAUAGAAAACGAUUUAAAAUCUGAUUAAAACCCGGUUCUAGUGAGGUUUCAAACAAAUCAAACAGCAAAGCAAAAUUGAAAACGAAUCAGCAAUCAGAUGAAAACCCAGGUGCAGUAACAAACAGGAGAAAUGAAUUACUAACCAAACGGAUUAAUGCAAUCUGACAUAGAAGUAUGAAGCAUAAGAACAAAAUUGCAAAACAACAGCAAAGCCCUAAACUAUCAACGAAAUCAGAUUAAACCCAUAAACUUCAACCCAAAUAUAAAUUGUUUAAUCUUAUAUUUAAGCUGAAACAUAACACGAAAUUGCUACAGUCCCUUCGAACCAAAUUCACGAUUAAAUUUAUCAGUAAUUAUUGCAUAAACAGAUCCACAACAAAAACCAAGAGAACCAAGUUGCACGUAAUACUGUGGAAGAGAAGAAGAAGAAGAAGAAGAGAGAGAGAGAGAGAGAGAGAGAGAUACCAUGGUGGAUUUGCCGCGGCGUCGAUACAGAAAUGAGCAGCUGAAGCUUGUAACAAGAACCCUAGAGGGCAUCGGAGCGGUAUGCGUUGGGUUUUAUACUUUGAUGGGAUGGGCUUUUGUUCGGCUACAAGUGUUCUUAUUUUGGAAACGGGCUGGGCUGCCUUCAGUGUUUUAUCAAAGUUGGGCUUUUGCAAAACCUGAACCCUAAACCUUUCUAUUCCAUAGGUUCGGAUAAAUUUUUAGUUAUAUUUGGAAAUGUGUUAUCCACAUAUCUCUUUUUACUUCUCACAUAUUUUUUUAAUUUUUGACUGUCGGAUCAGCUGAAUCGAAGAAGAUCAACAACAACAACAACAACAACAACAAAGCCUUUUCCCACUAAGUGGGGUCGGCUAUAUGAAUCCUAGAACGCCAUUGCGCUCGGUUUUGUGUCAUGUCCUCCGUUAGAUCCAAGUACUCUAAGUCUUUUCUUAGAGUCUCUUCCAAAGUUGUCCUAGGUCUUCCUCUACCCCUUCGGCCCUGAACCUCUGUCCCGUAGUCACAUCUUCGAACCGGAGCGUCAGUCGGCCUUCUUUGCACAUGUUCAAAAUCACCGGAGCCGAUUUUCUCUCAUCUUUCCUACAAUUUCGGCUACUCUUACUUUAUCUCGGAUAUCCUCAUUCCCAAUCUUAUCCUUUCUCGUGUGCCCACACAUUCCACGAAGCAUCCUCAUCUCCGCUACACCCAUUUUGUGUACGUGUUGAUGCUUCACCACCCAACAUUCUGUGCCAUACAACAUCGCUAGCCUUAUUGCCAUCCUAUAAAAUUUUCCCUUGAGCUUCAAUGGCCUACGACGGUCACACAACACGCCGGAUGCACUCUUUCCAUCCAGCUCGUAUUCUAUGGUUGAGAUCUCCAUCUAAUUCUCCGUUCUCUUGCAAGAUAGAUCCUAGGUAGCGAAAACGAUCGCUUUUUGUGAUCUUCGCUAGAUUGCUCCGGUCAUUAGUGUGGAUAAGUAUAUAAAUGGAUAGAGAUAGGAAAGCAAACACAAGAUGUACGUGGUUCACCCAGAUUGGCUACGUCCACGGAAUAGAAGAGUUCUCAUUAAUUGUGAAGGGUUUACACAAGUACAUAGGUUCAAGCUCUCAUUUAGUGAGUACAAGUGAAUGAUUUAGUACAAAUGACAUUAGGAAAUAUUGUGGGAGAAUGAUCUCGUAAUCACGAAACUUCUAAGUAUCGGAGUGUGGUGUCGUCUUUGACUUGCCUUAUCUGUCUCAUAGGUAGAUGUGGCAUCUUCUCUGGAAGUACUCUUCCUCCAUCCAGGGGUGGUAUCUUUAACUGGUGGAGAUGCACAAGGUAAUGUAUCAAUUUCACUUGAAGCUUACUUGUAGUUUCAGGCUUGGUCAAGCGCGAUACAAACCAUGUAGUAGGAGUCCCCCAAGUCGCCGAGCUAGGGGGUCUGCUGAAAGAGGUGACAGACAAGGUAAGCAAUCAGAGCUCCGACUGAUUGUUCACCUUCUCCCCAUCUUGCAGCAGCAUGAAGGAUAAAGAGAAGAAAAAUGAGAAGAGAUGAUAUGAGAUACUUUUGCUUUUGAAGAAGUAACUUUCCACAGGCUUAUUCUUGAACUGAGCUGGAGGGUUUUCUGGUUUCCUCCAGAGUAUAAGGCCGACUGAAGAAUUUGAGGGUCAAAACAAGUCCAUCAAAUCUAGAGUACGUUCCACCCUGCUGAUAUGGGAUACUUUUGCUUUUGACAGAGUAAUGAAUGUAUCGGCACGUGUGCUGUUACGCUUGUCUCCACAUGCUUCCUUGUAUCCUUCGCACUUGCCCUAUCUGUUCCUCAAGCAGAUGCGGAAUCUUCCCUGGAAACAUAAGAUGUUGAAGAUGAGUACUCGAGAGCAAUGCCAGGUAAGUAAUCAGGUAAGGGGUUCCAGGCAGUCAGUUCCUGGCUGGAAGCUUGAUUCCAAGUGCUGACUGAUUGCUCUCUUUCUCCUUGUCUUGCAGGUAAAAACAAGGCCAAAAGAAAAGACAGGGAAAAAGCAUGAUAUGGGAUACUCUUGCUUUUAACCCUGAUGAUAUGAGAUAUUCUUGCUCUAGUAUAGCUUGUUUGCAGAGGUAUUAUCGGGGGGAAAGAAAGCUGAAUAUUUCGAAAGGCUUCGUUGGGAGUGCCCUCUCAGAUAUGAUGAAGGGUUGAGCAUUUUUGCAGGUCUGCCUGUCCGUUGGGGAUGGAGGUCGACAUAUAUAGGAGUCUCCCUAACAACAAGUAGUAAUGCUAUUCCUUUACCCUGCUUGGUCAUAGCACGGUAGUGGGAGCUGCCAGUUUCACAUGUUUUAACUCUGUCAGAGCACUUUGAAAAAGUGGUCUGUGGUAUCUGGCUCUCGAGAUUCGGAGAACGAUGCCUCUUCGAUUUUUGAGAAAGCAAUCAUGCUGGGGGUAUGACUCUCGAGAUUCGGAGAGCAGUGUCUCUUCGAUUUUUGAGGAAGUAAUCAUGUUGGGAGUCUGGCUCUCGAGAUUCGGAGGGCGGUGCCUCUUCGAUUUUGGAGCAAGCAAUCUUGUUGGAAGUGUUGUCUCGAAUGUGAGUAAAGGUUGAGCAUGUUUGCUAGUCUACCUUGCCACGAAGCACAAAGGUUGACACACAGGGACUUUCCAAUUAUCCAGCAAUGGUACUGUUCCUUUACCCUCUCUUCGAUUUUGAGAAAGUAGUCAUGUUGGGAGUCUGGCUCUCGAGAUUCGGAGGACGGUGCCUCUUCGAUUUUGGAGCAAGCAAUCUUAUUGGGAGUGUUUUCUCGAAUGUGAGUAAAGGUUGGGCAUGUUUGCUAGUCUACCUUGCCACGAAGCACAGAGGUUGACCUUCAAAAUUUAUGUGUCUAAACUUUUGUUAGUGCUGUUUCUUUGCUAUUCUUUUACCUUUCUUGGUCAGAGCGAUGUAGUGGGAGCUGCAAGCUUCACGUGCUCAACUUUGGCAGAGAACUUUGGCAAAGUUAUUUGUGGUACCCAUGAGCUAUUGUUGCGUGUGGGAAGUGGGUGAUUGAACAGUAAGAUUCAUGUGCUUUCUACUUCACCAGAAGUCUUCGACAGAAUGCCCAUAAUUUCUGCAAAGCUGAGUGUGCAUGUGACAGGUGCUGACAAGGCUAGAAAAGUAGGUGCCUCUUCGAUUUCUGAGAUCGGCCCUCGUGGUCUCUGAGCAGCCCAGCUUUUGAGAAAGCGAGCGCCUCUUCGAUUGAUUCGGAGAACGAUGCCUCAUCGAUUUUUGAGAAAGCAAUCAUGCUGGGGGUCUGGCUCUCGAGAUUCGGGGAGCAGUGUCUCUUCGAUUUUUGAGAAAGUAAUCAUGUUGGGAGUCUGGCUCUCGAGAUUCGGAGGGCGGUGCCUCUUCGAUUUUGGAGCAAGCAAUCUUGUUGGGAGUGUUUUCUCGAAUGUGAGUAAAAGGUUGGGCAUGUUUGCUAGUCUACCUUGCCACGAAGCACAGAGGUUGACACACAGGGACUUUCCAAUUAUCCAGCAAUGGUACUGUUCCUUUACCCUCUCUUCGAUUUUUAAGAAAGUAGUCAUGUUGGGAGUCUGGCUCUCGAGAUUCGGAGGACGGUGCCUCUUCGAUUUUGGAGCAAGCAAUCUUAUUGGGAGUGUUUUCUCGAAUGUGAGUAAAGGGUUGGGCAUGUUUGCUAGUCUACCUUGCCACGAAGCACAGAGGUUGACACACAGGGACUUUCCAAUUAUCCAGCAGUGGUACUGUUCCUUUACCCUUGUGGGUAAUAAUAUGGUAGCUAGACCUUCAAAAUUUAUGGGUCUAAACUUUGUUAGUAGUGUUUCUUUGCUAUUCUUUUACCCUUCUUGGUCAGAGCGAUGUAGUGGGAGCUGCAAGCUUCACGUGCUCAACUUUGGCAGAGAACUUUGGCAAAGUUAUCUGUGGUACCCAUGAGCUAUUGUUGCGUGUGGGAAGUGGGUGAUUGAACAGUAAGAUUCAUGUGUUUUCUACUUCCCCAGAAGUCUUUGACAGAAUGCCCAUAAUUUCCGCAAAGCUGAGUGUGCGUGUGACAGGUGCUGACAAGGCUGGAAAAGGCUGGAAAAGUAGGUGCCUCUUCGAUUUCUGAGAUCGGCCCUCGUGGUCUCUGGGGAGCCCAGCUUUUGAGAAAGCGAGCGCCUCUUCGAUUUUUGAGAUCGGCCUUCGUGGUCUUUGAGCAGCCCAACUUUUGAGAAAGCAAACGCCUCUUCGAUUUCUGAGAUCAACCCUCGUGAUCUCUAAGCAGCCCAGCUUUUGAGAAAGCAAACGCCUCUUCGAUUUCUGAGCAGGCGCCUCUUCGAUUUCUGAAGCUUCGUCGAGUGCAGAUUUUUAUAGGGGCUGGCAUUAAGUUCCAAAGCACACUUGAAUCUCCACCAGUAGAAGCUUCAUUCUUGCACUUCUAAGAUCUUGAUUUGUCCGACCUCUUCUCUCUUCAACACCUUUGAAAAUGUCUGGCCCCUCCGACCGUCGUUUUGACUUGAACCUUGUUGAAGAGGCAGCCCCGCCUUCUCCAGACAACAUAUGGCGCCCAUCCUUCGUCUCCCCUACUGGUCCUCUUACCGUUGGGGAUUCCGUGAUGAAGAAUGAUAUGACCGCUGCGGUGGUGGCCAGGAACCUUCUCACUCCCAAAGAUAACAGACUACUUUCCAAACGGUCUGAUGAGUUAGCUGUUAAGGAUUCGCUGGCUCUCAGUGUUCAGUGUGCAGGUUCUGUGUCUAAUAUGGCCCAACGCCUAUUUGCUCGAACCCGCCAAGUUGAAUCAUUGGCGGCUGAAGUGAUGAGUCUCAAACAGGAGAUUAGAGGGCUCAAGCAUGAGAAUAAACAGUUGCACCGGCUCGCACAUGACUAUGCUACAAACAUGAAGAGGAAGCUUGACCAGAUGAAGGAAACUGAUGGUCAGGUUUUACUUGAUCAUCAGAGAUUUGUGGGUUUGUUCCAAAGGCAUUUAUUGCCUUCGUCUUCUGGGGCUGUACCGCGUAAUGAAGCUCCAAAUGAUCAACCUCUGAUGCCUCCUCCUUCUAGGGUUCUGUCCAGUACUGAGGCUCCAAAUGAUCCCCCUCCGGUGCCUUCUCUUUCUGGGGCUCUACCGACUGCUGAGACUUCUCCUAAGCAACCUUUGUGAAGGCUCCCUCUUGUGUGCUUAUUUUGACUCAUGUAUAUGUACAUAUUUGUAGCUUAUCGGGGAUAUCAAUAAAUAAGUUUUCCUUCAUUUCAACGUAUUGUGUUAAAUACACCAAAGCCUUCUUCGCUAAGUUCUUUGAAUUUUCUUUUGUUAAAGCUUGUAUGUUGAAGCUUUCUGAGUGGAGCAUGUAGGUUGGGGUAGUGUUCCCUUAAUUUCCCGAGUGAGGAAAACUUCUCGGUUGGAGACUUGGAAAAUCCAAGUCACUGAGUGGGAUCGGCUAUAUGAAUCUUUAGAACGCCAUUGUGCUCGAUCCUGUGUCAUGUCCUUCGUUAGAUCCAAGUACUCUAAGUCUUUUCUUAGAGUCUCUUCCAAAGUUUUCCUAGGUCUUCCUCUACCCCUUCGGCCCUGAACCUCUGUCCCAUAGUCGCAUCUUCUAAUCGGAACGUCAGUAGGCCUUCUUUGCACAUGUCCAAACCACCGUAACCGAUUUUCUCUCAUCUUUCCUUCAAUUUCGGCUACUCCUACUUUACCCCGGAUAUCCUCAUUCCUAAUCUUAUCCUUUCUCGUGUGCCCACACAUCCAACGAAGCAUCCUCAUCUCCGCUACACCCAUUUUGUGUACGUGUUGAUGUUUCACCGCCCAACAUUCUGUGCCAUACAGCAUCGCCGGCCUUAUUGCCGUCCUAUAAAAUUUUCCCUUGAGCUUCAGUGGCAUACGGCGGUCACACAACACGCCGGAUGCACUCUUCCACUUCAUCCAUCCAGCUUGUAUUCUAUGGUUGAGAUCUCCAUCUAAUUCUCCGUUCUUUUGCAAGAUAGAUCCUAGGUAACGAAAACGGUCGCUCUUUGGUAUUUCUUGAUCUCCGAUCCUCACCCCUAACUCGUUUUGGCCUCCAUUUGCACUGAACUUGCACUCCAUAUAUUCUGUCUUUGAUCGGCUUAGGCGAAGACCUUUAGAUUCCAACACUUCUCUCCAAAGGUUAAGCUUUGCAUUUACCCCUUCCUGAGUUUCAUCUAUCAACACUAUAUCGUCUGCGAAAAGCAUACACCAAGGAAUAUCAUCUUGAAUAUGUCGUGUUAACUCAUCCAUUACCAACGCAAAAAGGUAAGGACUUAAGGAUGAGCCUUGAUGUAAUCCUACAGUUAUGGGAAAGCUUUCGGUUUGUCCUUCAUGAGUUCUUACGGCAGUCUUUGCUCCUUCAUACAUAUCCUUUAUAGCUUGGAUAUAUGCUACUCGUACUCCUUUCUUCUCUAAAAUCCUCCAAAGAAUGUCUCUUGGGACCCUAUCAUACGCUUUUUCCAAAUCUAUAAAGACCAUGUGUAAAUCCUUUUUCCCAUCUCUAUAUCUUUCCAUCAGUCUUCGUAAGAGAUAGAUUGCCUCCAUGGUUGAGCGCCCUGGCAUGAACCCGAAUUGGUUGUCCGAAACCCGUGUCUCUUGCCUUAAUCUAUGCUCAAUGACUCUCUCCCAGAGCUUCAUUGUAUGACUCAUUAGCUUAAUACCCCUAUAGUUCAUGCAAUUUUGUACGUCGCCCUUAUUCUUGUAGAUAGGCACCAAAGUGCUCGUUCGCCACUCAUUUGGCAUCUUCUUCGUUUUCAAAAUCCUAUUGAAAAGGUCAGUGAGCCAUGUUAUACCUGUCUCUCCCAAAAGUUUCCACACUUCGAUUGGUAUAUCGUCUGGGCCUAUUGCUUUUUUAUGCUUUCAUCUUCUUCAAAGCUACAACCACUUCUUCCUUCCGGAUUCGACGAUAAAAAGAGUAGUUUCUACACUCUUCUGAGUUACUCAACUCCCCUAAAGAAGCACUCAUUUCAUGUCCUUCAUUGAAAAGAUUAUGAAAAUAACCUCUCCAUCUGUCUUUAACCGCGUUCUCUGUAGCAAGAACCUUUCCAUCCUCAUCCUUGAUGCACCUCACUUGGUUUAGGUCCCUUGUCUUCUUUUCCCUUGCUCUAGAUAGUUUAUAGAUAUCCAACUCUCCUUCUUUGGUAUCUAGUCGUUUAUACAUAUCGUCGUAAGCCGCUAACUUAGCUUCUCUGACAGCUUUCUUCGCCUCUUGCUUCGCUUUUUCUAUACCUUUCACCAUUUUCAUCAGUCCUCUCCUUGUAUAAGGCUUUACAACAUUCCUUCUUAGCCUUCACCUUUGUUUGUACCUCCUCAUUCCACCACCAAGAUUCCUUUUGGUGUGGGGCAAAGCCCUUGGACUCUCCUAAUACCUCUUUUGCUACUUUUCGGAUACAACUAGCCAUGGAAUCCCACAUUUGGCUAGCUUCCCCCUCUCUAUCCCACACACAUUGGGUGAUUACCUUCUCUUUGAAAAUGGCUUGUUUUUCUUCUUUUAGAUUCCACCAUCUAGUCCUUGGGCACUUCCAAGUCUUGUUCUUUUGUCUUACUCUUUUGAUAUGUACAUCCAUCACCACAACAAGCGAUGUUGAUUAGUCACGCUCUCUCCUGGUAUAACUUUGCAAUCCUUACAAGUUAUACGAUCCCCUUUCCUCAUUAGAAGAAAAUCUAUUUGUGUUUUUGACGACCCACUCUUGUAGGUGAUCACAUGUUCUUCUCUCUUCUUAAAGAAGGUGUUGGCUAAGAAGAGAUCAUAUGCCAUUGCAAAAUCCAAGAUAGCUUCCCCAUCCUCGUUUCUCUCCCCAAAACCAUGGCCACCAUGAAAACCUCCAUAGUUGCCUGUCUCCCUGCCCACGUGUCCAUUUAAAUCUCCUCCUAUAAAUAACUUCUCCGUCUGAGCAAUUCCUUGCACCAAGUCUCCAAGAUCUUCCCAAAAUUUUCUCCUUCGAACUCGUAUCCAACCCUACUUGAGGUGCGUACGCACUAAUCACAUUGAUAAGUUCUUGUCCUAUUACAAUCUUGAUUGCCAUGAUUCUAUCUCCUACCCUCUUGACAUCUACAACAUCUUGUACCAAGGUCUUGUCCACGAUGAUGCCAACACCGUUUCUCGUUCUAUUUGUGCCCGAAUACCAAAGUUUAAACCCUGAGUUUUCUAGAUCCUUUGCCUUACUACCAACCCACUUAGUUUCUUGUAGGCACAUAAUAUUUAUCCUUCUCCUCACCAUAACUUCCACUACUUCCAUAGAUUUUCCCGUUAAGGUUCCUAUAUUCCACGUUCCUAAACGCAUUUUGCUCUCUUGAACUCUACCCUUCUGUCCUAGCUUCUUCACCCUCCCCCGUCUAAUAGGAUCAAAGUACUUCUUUUGUGUGUCCCGGGUAAAGUUGAUAGGAGCAUAUGCUCCCAAACAACUUUGAGUGGAGUCGUUCGAAAAGAAGUUUCUAUGGCCCCCUUGCUCAUUUAACACUGCAUCCGGGUGCCGAUGGAGAUACAGCGACCCUUGCUCACUUAUCACUGUGCUCAGGCCACACAGCGCGCCACUUACGGGUGACGCCCUAGCUUUAGCGCGAUUUUGUUCUGGAUUCAUUUUCAUAAGGAUUCGACGUGAUCAUGGAGUGCCGGCUGUCGACUACCUGACGCCCUCCCCCUCCUCCUUUAUCCGGGCUUGGGACCGGCCAUGUAAGACAUAGGCGGAGUUGAAUCGAAGAAGAUCAAAUGACAGAAAUCAAUAAGGCACGUGUGAGGAGUAAAAAGAGGUGUGUGGAUGUCACACCCCUAUAUUUAUUGGUGUAUGAUUAAAAGGAACGUACAAUUUAGAGGCCUUAGCUUUUGUGUUGUUUUUUGUUACAUUGGAUGGAAUCGAACCCGAAGGUUUCGAGUUUGGUUACUUUCUUUAAUAGUUUUUUUUGUUGGUGGAGAAGAUGUUGUUGCUCCAAAAUGGUAGCAGGGUUUUCAGGAGAACGUACAUUUUCCAACACAUCCAAUAUUUGGCAAAGUAUGUGCAAGGAUAUGUUCGCGACUUCAAAGUACGUGCAGUGGUGGUCGGAUGAUUUGGAUCUUCAAACCACCUCCCCUGAGAUUAUCAACAGGCAGUUGACACCCCAUCACCUUAGUCUUCAAAGCCUGAGCAACGUUAUAAACAAAACUUUCUACAAAUUUGAGAUGCUAUUUUGUUUAUUUUAAUUAUGAGUUUGCUAGUAAACGACUCAGAAGAUCGUUACAUUUCGUGUUGAUCUUGUAAUGUUUAGUAGUUAAAAGAUACUAAUUAAAGAGAAAUUUUCCAAGUAAAGAAUGGUUGGAACAUUACCUUUUUCUAUAUACUUAGUUUCCACCCCGUAAAACUCAUACAAAAUCUGAUACACCGCUCUCUCACCGUAACACUUUUUAGAGUACUUCUCAUCGUAUUAAGGCCAAAGUGAGGAAUUAUACAAAUCUCAGAGACCAUUUUGGUUAAAAAAACCUAGAUAUAAUGAUAAAGACAAAAUCAAUGCCUUUUCGGCGAUCCUACACACCCCCGAAUGCAAUCUUUUCCUCUUGGCAGCUGAAAGAAACUUUCACUUCUCAAUGUAUUAAGGAUGCCAAUAUGUUCGUCAGGCGUAUGAAACUAUCAAUGGCUCUCUUGAGGCAUCUUCGGAUAUGUUGCUGUAGUAGGAGUACAGAGCUAACUGGACAAGCCCUAAAAUUGUUCCAAUACCGUUUGGGAUCUGCAUCCAAAAUGUAAUUUGAAGAGGAUCAACACAAGUUCCGAAACUCGGGUUUGGCAUGUUAACAUCUUGCUGCAGAAAACAGAACACUUACAUAGAGGAAAGGGUCCUCCUUGAGCACUCCAUAUGCAGAGAAAGAGAGACUCAUCAAAACGUCGCGAGAGAAAGAUUAAAUGGCAUGAACUCGACACUCCUUGUUUUGAUCACCAAUUUCUGAAAAAGGGUACACGCGAAACCAUACGUGUGAGGAUAAAUUGCGCUGUCCAAAACCUGUGAGCGAAAAAUUUAACACGCAAACUUACUAUGAUAAACAGCGGCGAAGCAAACAUUGAGAUGAGCGAAGCAACACUCAGGUAUCCGACGAACGUUUGCCUCUCAUCGUAGUCUAAAAGUCCCAAGGUCACAAAGACAACGAACGCAAACACAACAAUAACUGCCGCUAUCAAUCCCAUCAUCCUCAGCUGCAAAAAGAAAUUUCAAGAACGCAGUCAUGCAGUGUUUUAAUAGGCAUUGGCUGUCUACAUGAGCAGGUAGAUUUGGGGAAGAAUAUCACCUUGAUCGCUCUUUCGGCGUGCCUAAUGAAAAUGCUUAAGUAGACAAACUGGAAAACCGCCCCGAUUGAAUUGACUGUAGCCACCAGUAUAAUCCCAGUUUUCACAGCAGGCAUGCCAUACCAGGAGCAUAUCAAGCAGUUCAAAAGUGCAUAUAUGUAAGGCAAUCCAGAAAAUUGUUCUGUUGACUUAGUUUUGACAAUUCUCUUAAAUGUUGGUCUGGAAAACAAAACAUGGCUAUAUGAUCAGAAUCAAGAGCAAAAUAUCAUUAAUCUCCAUUUUUUCGUGAACUUUUUAAAUAACUUACAUUGGUGACACAAAUAACACAAAGGCAAAGAUAUUCCCUGCAAUUGACAAAGAUAUGUGUUAAAACUGGCAAUCUGAGAGUCUUUUUAUAGAUUCCAAAACUGCAUAGACAUAUAUUUCCAACUGAUUCUUAUGCAUCUUUUUGACAAGGCGGUAUUCUAAAUUAACUCUAUCUACAGAGAAGGGGAUUCAAACACGGGUAAAAGGGGUGAGCAUAUUGCCCUGGUUAGCCUAACCUCACAUGCAUCUUGAACAACAUAUGCUUUUCUUCAUAAAUCAACAUUCCAAAAACCUCCAAUCACCACAACAAUAUCUUAUAAAGUCACUCAACAGAAUUCAUGGUUUUGUUCCUUAAAAAAAAACAUAAAACUAUGAACUUACCCUUGCACCCGAGGUCCGAAGUUCAAUUCCCCCGCUUUUGAUAAAAAAAUGGAAGAAGCGUAAUGAAGCAGAUAUGGUGCUAAGAUAAAGAAGGGUACCUGCAAUGCCGGCUGCAGUACUCCAACCUAAAUAAACAGAAAACAGUCCAGUCGGCAACAUCGAUCUAUGUCAAUUAUCAAAACAACUGCUCAACAAAUGUAUGUAUUCAACUUUACUCACUGCUACUCCACACCAAACAGAAGCUCUCUCUCCCUCUCUCUUGUAACUUUGUAUAUUAAUGGUCCAAACGAGAAGGAUUUUUCUUAAUAUAUAUACUUGUUACAGAGGACCUCAGAUAAUUUACACCAUCUAUUAUUUACUACCAACUUUUUGAGACUUCUUUAACUUGCCACAGAAAGUUUUUGUUAAACCAAUGAUAUUAGAUUAUUUAAACUAUGGUAUUAUGAUGGGAAAUUGGGAACCGUGAGUACUCCAAGUUAGCCAAAUGCAACUAUAAUCCAUACAUUUAUAUAUUGAACAUACGAUGAGUUAUGCACAAUGAUUUUAUGACGGUUUUAACCACACAAUAGGGCUAUAUCAUUCAAGUUUAAACGUUGAACCCUUACAUCAUCGUAAUAAAACUGAAUAGAUAUGUGACACAGGCUGCCCAGGAAAAUGCGAGACCGCAUACGAUUUUGUGGCUUAGAUAGACUUCAAGUGGGUUCAUCCCUCACUUUCACUCAUCAAUUGGUUGAGAUUUUUAUAGAUUUUGGGCCAUGCAAAUUAUUUGGAACCUGUUAGUCACUUAUAUAUACGUUGUAUAUUGGUUAUUAUCACGUGAUAAAUAUAUAUAUAUAUAUAUAUAUAUUUUUUUUUUUAUUCACAUCUCAUCUUAGAAUACGCAGAAGGUUAUUUAGGAUCGUGCUAUCCACAAAUUCGUUUUUACUUUUCACACAUUCUCAAUUUUCAGUCGUCCGGUCGAAUAAAUUGAAUGAAGUUCAAAUGAUAGAAAUUGACAAGAAGUAUGUGGAAAAUACAAAUGAAUGUAUGGAUAACACCAUCCGGUUUUUUAUUGUCAAUUUUGCUUUUUUGGGUUAAUUUGAUUGGGACAACGAACAAUACAAUGGAUGUCUGGAUCAAACUUUAUUUUGAUAAUUUUAUACACAACUCAAAUCAUAUUAAGUGUUCACACAUGAAAAAUAUGUAUAUGAAAACAAAAAUGGACCUGUCAAGACCUCUUCGUCCUCAUGUUACUUAGUACCUCAAUUUACUUGAGAGAAAAAGAGUGAGCUAGCUGUACUUUUGUUACUAAUUACAAGUAACAAUGGUCCCAAAACCUCAUGUUAAAGAAAUAUGCUUUGCAAUUUAUUGUGAAAUUGGCCCUCAUUUAAGGUGUUGCGAUAUUGACCGUUAGGAUAUGAGAUUCAUACUUUUAACACGUUCUUAUGUUUGAUGAAUUUUUAAUUUACAAUGAUCAUAAACCAAUUGACAAUAUAAGAAAUAACUAUUUAUAAGUACAUGCAAGGUCAUUUCUUUUCCCAAUAUGAGAUUCAUACUCUAAACAGAAAGGACAUUGACCAAACCACUACAUAUGAAACUUGUGUUCUUGUCUGUGCUUGAUUUUGCUUGGUGUUUUGGUAUUUUCAUUGUGGUUGGUUUGAUUAUUUGCUCAUCAACAUUGAUAAAUCCAUAAAGGCAUUGUACAUACAUACAUAUAUACAUAUAUAUAUACAUAUAUAUAUAUAUAUAUAUAGAUCCAAGGAAGCAUAAUCUCUAUAAUUAAAAGUAGGGAUAUUUUGGAUGCGGUCCCUAAUUCUUAACAUUCUUUGAUUAAAACCUUAAUGGUAUUCAAAGUUUGAUCAAAGUCCCUUGACUUUGUACACCUCAUUAUAUUACUAUUAAUAUUUAUAUUUUUAUAGUUUUGACAUUAAUUGUUUGAUAUUUUAUGAGAUUUAUAAUCCUAUAAAUUUAAAAUCCCUCAUUAUAAUACUAUUAGAAAAGGUUACAAUAAAAGAAUUCAAACAUUUUGAUUGAAUAAAUGGAUAAAAACUAUGUAAAAAUAAGAAAUAAUAAAUGGCAAAAGAAUGUAUCCAUAGUGUUAAAAAAAUUGGUACAUUUCACAUAUGUACAUUAAUAAAGAAGAAUGGGUACAUUACAAAUAAAUUAGGGUACAUAUAAAAGAUUAAAAAAUUAUGAGUACAAAUGAAUUUUUAAAAAAAUAUAGGCCCUAAAAGAAAUUAAUACAUGGGUACAAAAUAAAACUAAAAAGAAAAUACUGCAAAUUUUUAAAAAAAUGUUGCAAAUUAAAAGUGGGUACAAACUAAAAAUAUAAAUAUAUGAUACAAAAGUUUAGGCAUAAAACAUAAAUAUACCAUAUGUAAUUUUUCUAUCAUUGAUUACUUUAAAAAAUAUGGGCACAAACUAAUAUAUGGGUACAAAUUAAAAAUGAAAAGAAAAUUGGUACAAAUUAAAAAAUAUUUGCAAAUUAAAAAUAGGUACAAACUAAAAUUAAAGAUACAUGAUAAAAAAUUUAGCCAUAAAUAUAAAUAUACUAAUUGUAACAUUUUUAACACUAAAGGAAUAUAUUUAAAAAUAAAAUAUUUUAUUAUUCAAAUAAUUAAUGAUGUUAUUAAUACCCAAGGACCUUGAUAAAAAAUUAAAAAUGAAUAAGAUUUUAAUCAAUGAAGUAACAAAAAGAAAGAUGUGAACUUAAUUUCUCCUUAAAAGUAUAGUUGUUAUUGUCGUUCAAAAAAGUGAUCAUGUAUUUCUUCAUUUUAUAAGUAUAAGAAAUAUUAUUGGAGAUGCUUUAAAUGUAUCUUAAGUACACUUUAAGAGAAUAUUAUUUGUAAACUUGUCUUGGAUUCUAAGCCGUUUAGAUUUUUCUAUAAACUCUUUUUUCUUUUCUUCCUCAUAUUUGUUCGCUUCUCACAUUACGUGCUUUUUAAAUAUAUAACAAAAGAAAAUGAUUGAAAAAAAUAUAUUUUGUAUUUGAUGUCUUGUCUUCGAUUUGUUUAUUUAUGUGCUUUUUUUUUUCUUCCCUUUCUCGUGAAGAAUCGGGUUGCCUUGCUUAUAAUUUAAAACAUGAUUACUUAAAAUAUUAUAAUGCGUAUUUAUAUAUUCAUCUACUUUUCAGGUCAUUGUGUGCAUCAACUAUUGAGUGAUUAGGAAUUGGAAUCAACCGAAUUAAGAAUGGCAUGGAAGAAGCACGCGGAAAUGUAUAUAUUCAUUGAAACAAGACGGUCAAAACAUUUGCCAGUUGCAGAUGCAAACGAAUAUAUGCCAAACCACAAAACGUUACGAGCCAUCCGCCAUGAUCAGUGAUGAGUUCACAUGACCAUUCUAAAUUCAUACUGGUGCAUGUUUCCUCGAAAAAACUUCAAAAUAGUCGUUAUGCAUUUAUUUAAACAGUUGACUUAAUAAAUUCCUAAAUUCUAUUUGGGAGCUCAUUUACGGAACCGGUUGGAGAUUCUCUUACCUAUCGUACCAGUGUUACACAAGAUUUACUUUCCUAAUUUUGGCAACUUGGUCGAAUGCGAUAUAUGUGUACACAUAUUUAUAGAGAAGGAAACCAGGUUGCAGAUGCUUUAACUUCAUUUAGGGCAAAUAAUUAUGCUUAUUAUUGGUGGUCUAUAAUUUUAAAUUUCGUAACCUCUGCUCAUGCUCGUGACAUUUCGUUGGCAAUUUUUGUACUUGCGGAUCUUGGCAUAGUCCACCGCCUGCAUGUUUUUCGUUUACUUUCAUUUUUAUCAAUAAAUUUAGUGUACGAGGGACGUGGUGGGGGCUUCCUGGGUGUAAUGGUCUUCACCCCUUCAAGGGAGGAUAGGUGUCUCGCAUACAACCAUUGCUGAAGAGCUAAUCUCACCUAAUCUUUCUCCAUUUGAAAAAUAUAUAUAUCUCUGUACAUGAUGCCUGCUAUUGUCUAUUAAGCAGCAGGAAAACCCUCAUUUUCCAGUUAGGCUCUAAGGAAAUGUCACUUUGAAAAGAAAAAAAAGGCAGUAACUUUGGUAAAUAUUUAAGUAACAUAUUACACACCAAGAAUUAAAAGGAUUUGCAUCCUUUGAGAAUACUCUUCUGUCAAUGUAACAAUUUAUAUCCAACGGCGUAUAGUUUGAAGAAAUUGAUGAAUUUCUCCAAGUAAAUUUUGUACUGAAGGUCAAGCAUUUCUCCAAAGGAAAUUCGGUCACGGAUGUGUAGCUAGCAAUGGUUCUUCUUCUUCUUCUACCGCGUCUUCUUCAGAUGGAUUUUUGUAGCGGCAGUACAGAACCAACUGUACAAGGGCUAACAUUGUUCCAAUACCAUUUGGCAUCUGCAUCCAAAAUAUUAAAAAAUAAACGUAAUGGUUAUGUAAUGCAAGUGUGAUGGGGUUGAUCGGUGCUUGAUGUGAAUGAGAUUCAACUACGUUUUAGGAUGCAAUUUAGACCAAUAAAUGAGACUGACAAAUAGGUGCUACGAUGGUUGAGAGUAUAUAGCUGCUGAAAUUUUGGACUGAAGGAAACAUAGUACUUACAUAUAGAAAAGGGUCCAUCUUGAACACUCCAUAGGCAGUGAAGGAGAAACUCACUAAGAAAGUUGCAAAAGAAAGAUUAAAUGGCAUGAACUCAACGCUUUUUGUUUUGAUCACCAAAUUCUGAAAAAAGGGUAUGUAUGAAACCACAUGAGUGAGGACAAAUUCAACCGUCUAAUAGCAAUCUGACUAAGGAUCAUCCGGCACAAACUUACUAUGACAAUCAAUGGCGAACCAUACAUGAAAAUAAGUGAAGCAAUACUCAAGUAUCCAACAAAUAAUUGCCUCCCAUUGUAGUCGAAAAGACUUAAGCUGACAACGACAAUGGACACAAAUAGAACGAAAACUGCGAUUAACAAUGCCAACAUCUUCAUCUGCAAUAAACAUUUUAAAGAACAACACAUAGUCAGUAAUGCAAAGUUAAAAGGUAUUUUAAUAAGAAAAAUGCAGGUGCCAUUACCUUAAGCGCUCUUUCGGCGUAAGAAAUGAAAAUGCACAAGUAGACUAACUGGAAAACAGUCCCAACUGAAUUGACUGUAGCCACCAGUAUAAUGCCAUUCUUCACUAUAGGCAUUCCAUACCAGCAACAUAUCAAGCAAUUCAAAAGUCCAUAUAUGUAAGGCAUUCCAGAAAAUUGUUCUGUUGACCUGUUUCUGAUAAUUCUAUUGAAUGUUGACCUGGAAUUAGAACAUCAAAGAUUAACAAUCAGUGGGAAAGUACAAAAUCUUGAAUAUAAUUCCAUGCGCAAAGCAAAAAAUUUCAUAAAUCUCCAUUUUUGGCAAAAUUUUGUUGAGCAACUUACAGUGGUGACAGAUACAACCCAAAGGCAAAGAUAUUCCCUGCAGUUGACAGAGAUGGGUGUUAGAAUGUUUCUUGCACAACUACCAUCUUGUUUGUGAAUUGGCAGAAUUUUUCAGGUUGCAGUAAUCCAUAUUGAUUUGUUAAGCCAACUUGUUAUCUGAUUCUGAUGAUGAAAUUGAGAUAAAAAGUUGAUACUCUCUUAACUGCAUAGGAUUCAGAUCAAAAUCCGAUACAUUGACACGUCUACAUAUAAGGCAUCUGAAACAACAUAUAAAUAUAUCCUGCAAUCUGAGACAUUUCUGUUUUGCAAGAUCUAUGAAUUUUCUAUUCAGAUUCCAAAAUUACUAAGCAAAACCAUACAGCAUAUGAAUUCUUCACCUUAAACUAAGAUUCAAUCAGGGCAAAGUUAUCGAUCCACAACAAUAUGUAUAAAGUCAUUCAAAAGAAUUCAUAGCUGCACUUCAGGACAAGCAGAAAUCUGCAUCUAACUAAAGCAUAUAAUGGAAGAAGCGUAAAGAAAGAGAUUAUAUGGUGCAGAAAUGAGGAAGGUUACCGAGAACGCCGGCUCCAUCGCAGAAACUUUGAUAAACAGAAGACAGUUCAGUUGACAACAUUGAUCUAUCAAUUACCAGAACCCUGCUUAUAAGAAAAUAUGUAUGUAUAUAUUCAAAACACCAAGCAAGCAGAAGCUCCCUCUCUUCUCUCUGUGUCUAUUUUGUAGCCUUGUACAUUAGGGUCCGUAUGGGAGGCUUCUCUUAAUAUACUUGCUCAAAAGAUAUGGAACCAUGUGUUAUUCAUUACUACCAAACUACCAAAUCUUUUGGAGAUUUUUUAUUGUGUUUAUAUAAACUUCCUUGUAAACAAGGCUAGUCAUCUAAACACAAUACUUCCUCCAAAUUCAAUAAAAACUUUUACGAAAAAAAUUAAUUGAUGAAACAAUUUUCGAUUUGAUUUUUUGCAACCGUGAUCUUUAAAUAAUUUCUUAAAAAUUGUCUGAUUCGUAUCAUAAAAUAAUGUUGAGGGGAAAACUUAGACGAGUAAUUAGUGUUGUAGUAAGGACUUUACAACCAUCAAAUUAUGUAAAAUAAUUCAAAAUUUGCAGCCAUUGGUCCUUUCACUACUCUUUAAUAGAACUUUCAUCAGGUUUAACAGGUGUUAUAUGGUCUGAAUCUGUGACCUAUCAAAUUGAGUAUUUGAUAGAAGAGAUCAAAUCUUUUGUAUCUACUUUGUUUAUAGGGUCUCUGCGAUUAAUUGAGACAUGUUAGUUUAUGACUAUAAAGUCAAAAAAGAGUUAAAUUUUUAACACGUGUCAAUCAAUAACAGAUGCUACACAUAAAAUAAGUGCAAAAGAUUUGAAUUCUCGAUAAAUGAUUGGGGUGUGCAGAGUGCUCUUUUUGUGGUCAGGUAAAUUGAGUAGGACGACAAUCAAUCAUCACAUGGGGUCUUGAUCAAAUCUGAUCGUCCAAUAUUACUAUAUCAUAUAUACCCAACAAAAAAGGAGCUCUCAAAAACCUCCUUGGUCCUCUCUAAGUUGGUCAAUAAAGAUAGAGAAAUGCUGAGGGAAGUUCUCUUAAAUAGAAUUUUGGGGUGUGAUAUCCACACAUCCCAUUUUACUUCUCACACACCUUUUUUAAUUUUCUGCUGUCGGAUCGGAUGAAUUGAAGAAGAUCAACGGACAUAAAUUAUCAAGGGGUGUGCAAGAAGUAAAAUGGGGUGUGUGGAUAGCACACCCCUAGAAUCUUUUAUAUAUUAUGUUACUUUGCAAUUUUCUUGUUAAUAUUAUAAAAAUUGUGCAAAAAACACUAGAUGACAGAUAGUUAUAGAAAGUUUUACUUUGUUUAUAUGGUCUCUGCGAUUAAUUGACACAUAUUAUUUUACGACUAUAAAGUUAAAAAAGAGUUAAAUUUAUUAACAUAUGUCAAUCGGUAAGAGAUGCUACACACAAAAUAAAUGCAAAAGAUUUGAACUCUGGAUAAAUGGUUGGGGUGUGCAGAGUGCUCUUUUUGUGGUCGGGUAAAUUGAGUAGGACGACAAUCAAUCAUCACAUGGGGUCUUGAUCAAAUCUUAUCAUCCAAUAUUACUAUAUCAUAUAUACCCAACAAAAAUGGAGCUCUCAAAAACCUCCUUGGUCCUCUCUAAACAAAAAUGGAGCUCUCAAAAACCUCCUUGGUCCUCUCUAAGUUGGUCAAUAAAGAUAGAGAAAUGAAGAUAGAUAAAUGCUAAGGGAAACUCUCUUAAAUAUAAUCUUUUAUAGAUUAUGUUACUUUGCAGUUUAACAUUAAUUUUCUUAUUAAUAUUAUAAAAAUUAUGCAAAAAACACUAAAUGAGAGAUAGUUAUAGAAAAUUUUACUUUUAAAACAGUUUUCUUAAUAUUUCUCUAAACAUAUUUAACGUGUUACAGAAAGCCUGUGCUAGAAAGUGCCUGACUCAUUUCAUGGUACGUUGACAUGAUUCAAAAUCAUUUUAGGACCCAUUUAACUUUAAUAAUUCAAUAAUUGCUUUUCUUUGCCGUCUCUAAUAAUUUGCAAAGAAUGAUACCGGACACUACUUUAUUCUGCUCCUUUAAUUAAAGUAAAAUUAUAAAAUGAAAGAAAGUUUAUGAACAGUCUCACUUAAGAACAUGAUGGAGAGUUCACUUCCACUUGAGAAAAUCUUCUUAACAUUUAUUUAUUUUUUUGUGCUUCUUUCCCUUUUUCUUGGGAGAUUGUGUAGAAUAUUAUUAAAUUGUUUUCACUUGACCUAACAGUUUCUUGACCUGCUCUACUAAAUCGGAAAGAGAUCAUUUCCGGAUCUAUCCUUCCAAAGUCCACCAAUCAAUUAAUCUGGGUUCUUAAAAUUUGAUCUAACGACUAAAAUUAUUAUAACUUUUAAAAAGUCUCAAUGUUUUAGCCGUUGGAUCAAAUUUCAAUGACCCGUAUUAAUUGUUUGGCAUGAUUUGGUGGAAGAGAUCCCAAGAAGAUAUUUUUCUUACAUGAUCGGUGAUAAGCUUCCAACUUCACUUCGAUUUUUAAUGUUUUAUACAUGCGUACGUACAUGACCUAAGCAAAUGAAGUUGGUAACUUAUUACUGAUGAUGUAUCACAUUGAAUACACAUAUAAAGUUUGCGUUUGAAAAUUUUAUAUUGAGGUGAGUAAUCGAACUCAUAACCUCAAGUGCAUAGUCAAUUUUAAUUGGCAAGUUGGGUUCGGAAAUUUAAUAUUAUAAUAUAAUUUUAGUGUUCGAAUGAAAACUAGGUUAAAAUGUUCGCAUUGCUUCAAAAGCUAACCUGACAACCUAAAUAAAUAUUGCAAACCUCAAUCACCAAUUUUAUUAACGUUUUCUUUCUUUCAUCCUCUUCUUAUUUACCUUGGUUUAUAAACACUUGUUAUAAUUCAUUAUGUUUCAUUAUUAUACCGUGGGUGAAAAUUCUUUUAAUAAGAAGUUAUUAAUAUUUGUUGAUAAUUGUCCCAUCAAUCUGAGGAGUAAAGAUAAGGGGUGUGUUAUCCACACAUCCCAUUUUAUUUCUUACACACCCUUUGAUAAUUUCUGUUCAUUGAUAUUCUUCAAUUCGUUCGAUCCGACGAUCGAAAAUUAAAAAGGUGUGUGAGAAGUAAAAUGAAAUAUGUGAAUAUCACAUCCCUAAAGAUAAAACCAUUAUGGAAAGUAGGAAACAAUCCAAAAAUAUGAAUGUGAACAAUCUCGUACUAAGACUAGAAAGUACAAGGCACAAUCAACUCCCACCUUCUCCCUCCAAGAACGGGUCAUCCAUAGUACCACCCGGAUUGUGUUUUAGUAUAUAAAGAUAUUAUUGGAAGAAACAUCAUAUCAUGCAAAAAGGAGCAAAGCCUGACUAUUUUUUCAAUGUGACACUACUACAAUAUUAACUUCAGGCGUCGAACGAUCCUGACGGUUAUUAAGUUAUUCUGACGGAUAAAAGAUUUUCGACAUAUAAUUUAUUUACUGUCGGAUUAAAGUUACUUUUUGUUGGAUAUAUACAACAUAAAUUUCUGGCUGAUUUUUCCUAGCGGAUUUAACCGCCAUAAAAUUAUUAUAACCCUCAGUAUUUUUGAAUUCUUUUUUUUUUAUAAUAUUUUUACAUAUUCGGGCGGUUUCUAAGUUAAUUGUGGUGGUUAUAACCGACAUAAAUUGACUAUUUUAUUAUUUUAGAUUCUGGCGGUUAUUAUUUUAGUAUUCUGCUGGUUAUAACCGAUAGAAAUUGACUAUUUUAUUAUUUUAAAAUGUUACAUUGAUUAAAAAUAAAUAAACAAAUGGUGUAAAUAUUUUUUUUCACUCACGGUCCCAUUACCUAAUAUCUGAAUGUUUUUUUUUUUGCGAUUUUUUACACAUGCUAUCUCGGAGUAUAUACAAACAUAUUUGACGGUUGAAUCGUUGAAACUAGUUUCGUAGAAUGCAUACCUAUCAAAUUGAUAGAUUUAACAAACACUUAAAGAGUUAAUGUUAUACUUCCAUUAAGUAUAAAAAAUUAUCCACUAGUGUAAAUAUUUUAAAUUGAAGAUCGAAUUUGUUCAAUGCAUUCUUAUAGGGUCGAGGAGUGUAGCUGUAAAAAAUCAUCAAAAUCGAAGCUAAAAUAACCGUUAAAUUGUGAUUUUUUGUUUAUAACCAUCGAAAUUUUUUGUUUAGUUACCUAAUCUCUGAAUGUUUGUUUUUUAUAAUUUUUUACGUAUGCAAUCUCAGAGUGUGUAAAAAUAAGUUUGACGGUUGGAUCGUUGAAAAAAGUUUCAUAAAAUGCAUAUUGCAUCAAAACUGUAGAUUAAACAAACACUAGUUAAUAUUAUACUUCUAUUAAGUAUAAAAUAAGAUUUUGUAGUAUCCACUAGUGUAAAUAUUUUAAAUUGAAGAUCAAAUUUAUUCAUUACAUUCUUAUAGGGUCAAGGAGUGUAGCUGUAAAAAAUCAUCAAAAUCAUAGCUAAAAUAACCGUUAAAUUGUGAUUUUUCUUUUAUAACCGUCGAAAACUUUUGUUCCGUUACCUAAUCUCUGAAUGUUUAUUUUUUUACGAUUUUUUACGUAUAAAAUCUUGGAUUGUGUACAAAUAAGUUUGACGGUUGGAUUGUUGAAAAAAGUUUCGUAUAAUGCAUAUUGCGUCAAAACAGUAGAUUAAACAAACACUUAGAGUUAAUAUUAUGCUUCUAUUAAGUAUAAAAUAAGAUUUUGUGGUAUCCACUAACGUAAAUAUUUUAAAUUAAAGAUCAAAUUUAUUCAUUACAUUCUUAUAGGGUCGAGGAGUGUAGCUGUAAAAAAUCAUCAAAAUUGGAGCUAAAAUAACCGUUAAAUUGUGAUUUUUUGUUUAUAAUCGUUGAAAACUUUUGUUCCGUUACGUAAUAUUUGAAUGUUUGUUUUUUACGAUUUUUUACGUUUGCAAUCUUGAAGUGUGUACAAAUAAGUUUGACGGUUAGAUCGUUGAAAAAAGUUUUGUAGAAUGCAUAUUGCGUCAAAACGGUAGAUUAAACAAACACUUAGAGUUAAUAUUAUACUUCUAUUAAGCAUAAAAUAAGAUUUUGUGGUAUCCACUAACGUAAAUAUUUUAAAUUAAAGAUCAAAUUUAUUCAUUACAUUCUUAUAGGGUUGAGGAGUGUAGCUAUAAAAAAUCAUCAAAAUCGGAGCUAAAAUAACCGUUAAAUUGUGAUUUAUCGUUUAUAACCGUUGAAAACUUUUGUUCCGUUAUGUAAUCUCUGAAUGUUUGUUUUUUUACAAUUUUUUACGUAUGUAAUCUCGGAGUGUGUACAAAUAAGUUUGCCGGUUGGAUCGUUGAAAAAAGUUUCAUAGAAUGGAUAUUGCGUCAAAACGGUAGAUUAAACAAACACUUAGAGUUAAUAUUAUACUUCUAUUAAGUGUAAAAUAAGAUUUGUGGUAUCCACUUGUGUAAAUAUUUUAAAUUAAAGAUUGAAUUUAUUCAUUACAUUCUUAUAGGGUCGAGGAGUGAAGCUGUAAAAAAUCAUCAAAAUCGGAGCUAAAAUAACCGUUAAAUUGUGAUUUUUUGUUUGUAACCGUCGAAAACUUUUGUUCCGUUACGUAAUCUCUGAAUGUUUGUUUUUUACGAUUUUUUACAUAUGCGAUCUUGUAGUAUCUACAAACAAGUUUGACGGUUAGAUCCUGAAAACUAGUUUCGUAGAAUGCAUAAAUUUGCCAAAAUUUUGAAGUGGGAAAAGUAAUUUGUGAUAAAUUUUUAUUUAUGUUUUUCAAGUAUUGAUUAGACAAUAUUUAGUUUGUGUGAAGACAUUUUCAUUGUAUAAUUAUCUUUUUGUUUCUUUAUCGCAUAUUUUGCAUGAAUUAUUAUCUAUUAAACCAAAAAUGUAAAAAUUAUAUAUUAAACCAAACAAUUAUUUAUUUAAUUUUUAAAAACAUAUUCUAUUUAAAUACAUAUUAUUUAUUUAUUUAUUAAACCAAACAAUUAUUAUUUUAUUUUUUAAAAUCGUAACAAAAUUUGGGGGAAAGUUUAAAAUUUUCAGAGGGAAUUUUGGGGGGAUUUUUGCCGCCAUUUGUUUCUGUCGGUUAUAACUGACAUUAAUGAGAAGUUUCUGUCGGUUUUAACCGACAGUAAUGAAUAUUUCCACAUUAUAACCCCUCAAUCUCUUCUUUGCGCCGAUGCUUCUCCAUUCCCCAUUUUCUCCUUUCAUCAUUUCAUUCUCAUUCUCUUCUCUCAUCACCUCAUUUACUUCCAGUUUGAACACUUGCAACCAAAGUUCAUUAGCGAAUAUGGCGAAGAAGAAGGUAACACUCUCCCUCUCUCUCUCUCUCUAUCUCUCUCUCCUACAUCGAGGUAAACGGUUCAAAAAAUUUCUUGACAUUGCAGAUUUCAGAACACUGACACAAAGACUGGAACAUUGGAAAAUAGCUUCACAAUAAUCUCUUCAUUUCCUUGUUGCUAGGUCCAAUGUUGAAAGCAUUGAUGAUGAUCAACAAAAGGUGGAUAAGCUAUCCUUGAAGAAAAAAGGUAAAACAUGCACUCACGCUUUUAGAUUUGAAAAACCCAAGCUCGGUUUUCCCUGGUUUGAGUUUGAUGUAGUGGAUCAACAUGCAACAAAAUAAUCAGUUUUCAGCUUCUUAGUCUGGAUUUUUCCCAUCCAUGAUCCCUCCAACCGGCCUGCAAAAUAACCUUGGUACAGAUAAUCCAUCCAAGUUAUUGAACUUUCAAGCCCCAGUGCUGUCUGCACCCGGUCUCUAGUCAAAUAAAUCAGCUCCACAAAACCAAGCUAGCCAAAUGUAGCAGCCGAAUGUGACAUGGGCCCAACAGCAGCAGCUGCAGUAAUUGAUGCAUAGUCCUAUGAGCCAACAGCAGCAAAGUAACCCCGAACAGCAGCAGCUACAUCAAUUAUUGAAUUCUUCAGCGAACCAACAUUAGCAAAAUCACCCCCAGCAGCAGCUCUAGAAUUACUCCCAUUAGAAGCAGCGGGAGCCUCAACAACAGCAAGACCUUCAAAACCUGCUGCAGCAUCAGCAGCUGCACCAGGAUUUCUGUCGGUUUUCUAUUAAUAUUAAUAUAUAUUUUUUCUUAUUAAUAUAUAUAUUUUUCUUAUUAAUAUAUAUAUUUUUCUUAUUAAUAUAUUUUCUGUCGGUUUUAUCCGACAAGAAUGAUUUUAUUUAUUUUUAUAAUAAAUUCUUUGUCGGAUUUUAUUUAUUUUCUGUCGGUUUUUUCCGACAGAAAUUUUAAUAAAUAAAUAUAUAUCGUGUCGGUUAUAACCGACAGUAUUUCUAUCGGAUAUAACCGACAGUAUUUCUGUCGAAAAAUUCAUUUUCUGACGCAGGCAAUGCUGUCGCUUAUUAUAUCCGUCACUGCAUUCAUUUUCUGUCGGAUUUUGCUUAAAAUCCGACAGUAAUAUACAUUUUUUGUCGAUUUUUGAACCGCCAGUUAUAGUUAAUUUUGUAGUAGUGUGAAUGUAACUUGAAUUAGUGAAUUUAGUGUCAUAAUAAGUGGUGAGAUUUUUUUUCAAGUUUCCAACCACUUGUAUUAUAUAUUUGAUAUACCAAACUAUACUUUCGACGCACUAAAAAAUAUGUCCAGAGAAACAAGGGAGGCAAGAAUCCAAAGCAAACAUAAAAGGCUACAGACGCGUGAGCCAUUCAUGGCAAAAACAGCGAAAAAGGAAAAGCGUGCCCAGAAACUAAGGGGGAUUGCAUUGAAUCCAAUUGUCCACACGCAUCAUCCUCAUAGUAGCUUGGUUAGCUUCUAUAGGGAUCCAAGACCAGCGACUUCUAUAGGGACCCACGACCAGCAGAAACCAGCAAUGUAGUUUUUGACUUUAAACAUUGCUAUCGGAAGAUGUUAUAUUUGACGUUGAAUUUACCCCUCUUUCUUGCUAAAGACAAUGGCGUAGCCAUGUUAAGGGCUAUACAUUGGAGAAAUGAAGUGUUUACAAGACUCUGAUUGUAUUUCAAUCAAGAUUGUUCUUCAAGAAUCUAUGCUUCAGCAGUUUUGAUUGUAUUGAAUUAGAAAUGAAGUGUUUACAAGGCUUUUUAUAUGACGACAACUUCUUAAUGACUAAACUACCCUUCUUUAUCUAUUUAACAACUACCGUAUAGAUUGACAUGUCAUCAACCAUUAAGAUAUUACCAUGUGUCUUCACUCAUCAUCCCCCAUCAAUCUUGGCUGGGAAUCCAAGCCGAUGAUUGCAACAAUGUUUGAAAAAUACUGGACUAUGUAAUCCUUUGGUUAGAAUAUCAGCUGUUUGCAAUCCAUGGCAAUGAAGAAUGAUUCGACAAAGCAAAAAAGAUAAGCAAAGAAGAGAGAUGUUUGAGAAAUAUAGAGAGAAAGAUCUGAUUGUAUUGAAUAAAAAAUGAAGUGUUUACAAGGCUUUUUAUAUGACAACAACUUCUUAAUGACUAAACCACUCAUCCUUAUCUAUUUAACAACUACCUCCAGAUUCAAACUAACCUCAACUAAUUACAUCCACUCCCAACUGUAUAGAUUGAUAUGUCAUCAACCAUUAAGAUACUGCCAUGUGUCUUCACUCAUCACCCCCCCUCAAUCUUGGUUGGGAAUCCAAGCCGAAAAUUGCAACAAUGUUUGAAAAAUACUGGACUAUGCAAUCCUUUGGUUUGAAUAUCAGCUGUUUGCUCCUCAGUGGGUACAUAUUGAACAAGUAUGUCAUUCUUCUGAACUUUUCUCAAACAAACUUUUCUCAAACAAAGUGAAAAUCGGUGUCAAGAUGUUUAAUCCUGGUGUGGAAGACAUGAUUGGAACAUAGAGCAAGUGCUGACAGGUUAUCACAGUGUAUGAGAGGAGGUUUAGGUAAGAACUGAUGUAAAUCUCUUAACAGAUUCUGAAUCCAUGUAAUAUCAGCACACAAUGAGCUAGAUAUUUAUACUCAGCUUCAGUUAAACUUCUAGAGACCGAAGCUUGAUUCUUAGACUGCCAUGAGAUUGGAUUAUGCCCGAGAUACAUAACAAAACCAGUGACUGAUCUUCCAGUAUUAGGAUCAGUUGCCCAAUCCGAAUAUGAGAAAGCAAUAAAUGAUGUAUCUACUGAGGUUGAAUAAGUGAGACCAUAUUCAUUGUACCUUGCACAUAGCGUAUGAUCCUUUUGACUAGAUCAUAGUGCAUCUCAGUGGGAGUAUUCAUAUAUUGACAUGCAACAUUAACAGUAUAUGCCUAAUCAGGUUGUGUGAAUGUAAGAUACUGUAGAGCUCCUACCAAAAUCCGAUAUAAUGUAGUAUCAGAUAAAGGAGUUCCUUCUGAAUUAAAAAAUUGAGUAUAAGGUUGACAUGGUGUAUUCACAGAUUUACAAUUAUCCAUUCUUGCCUUAUGUAGCAAGUCUUUGGCAUAUUUAGCAUGACUGAGAAAAAUGUCUCAAUUUGAUAUGUAUUCAAUCUGCAGUCCCAAGAAAUAUGAUAGUUUGCCCAUACCUUUAAGAUCAAACACAUUCCCCAACUCUGUGAUGACUGCUUAAACCUUUUCUGGAUUAGAUCCAGUUGAAAUGAUAUCAUCAACAUAUAGUAAUAAUGCAACAACAUCCACUUCAUCAUACUUCACAAAUAAACUAGUGUCAGAUUGAGACGUUAUGAACCCCAUUGUAGGUAAAUAUCCAGUGAAAUUGGCAUUCCAUGCUCAAGGUGCCUGUUUAAGGCCAUAUAGAGACUUAACCAACUUGCAAACAUGAUUUGGAUACUGAGAAUCAAUAAACCCUUGUGGUUGUUUCAUGUAUACCUCUUCUUCUAAGUCACCAUGCAAAAAUGCAUUUUUAAAAUCAAGUUGUCUCAGUUCCCAUUUGUGUUGUGCAGCAAGUGAAAUAAUGAGUCUCACAGUAGUGUGUCGAACAACAGGACUAAAGGUCUCAAAAUAAUCCAAACCAUGUUCUUGAGUAUAUCCCUGAGCAACCAAACAUGCCUUAUAUCUUUAAAUUGACCCAUAGGGAUUUUUCUUCAGUUUGUAAACCCAUUUGCUUCCAAUAACUAUCCUGUGAGUAGGUUGAGGAACUAAAAUCCAAGUACCUUGACUCCUAAGUGCAUCAUACUCUUCUUGCAUUGCAUUAUGUCAGUGUUUGUUUGUUGUAGCACUUCAAAAUGAUGUUGGUUCAACAAUAUCAUGAAUAUGAGCCAUACAAGAGAAACCAUUUUGACAAGUAUCUAAAUCAUCCAGUCUCAAAGCAGAAAAUUUAGGAAAAUAUGUAAUAUAGCUAGAGUAAUCUUUUCUAGAAAUAGCACCAAUUUGCAACCUGGUUUGCAUCUUGUGAGUGUGAGUAUCACAUUGUGAGACAUUACCAAUAUCAGAUGUUUCAAAAGGAAGAAUUACCUCCAAUUGUGCAAGAUGAAGGACAUGUAACAUAGAGGCUAUAUUUGGAGCUAAGAGAGUUGUUUCAGAUUGUUCAGAUGAUGAAGAACUAUCAAAUGUAGUGUUGGAGCCUUGAAAUCGUGACUGUACCAUUGGAUUUGUAGAGUUAGAAUCUGAAAGUUGCACUUCAGUACUAGAAGACAGAUUCAUAAUUUCUGAUAUUGGAUUAACAUUUCGAGGAUGCACAGGAAGAACAAAUGUUGCUAAUGAUUUGUGAUUUGUAGUUUUCUGAGUACAAGACAUACCCUGAGAUUGAUCCCUUGAAACUCCAGAACUAAACUUGCAAGGAAACACAUCUUCAUUGUGAAUGACAUGUCUAGAAAUGAUAAAUUUUCUAGACUGUGGAUGAUAGCAUAUGACACCCUUAUAUCCAUGUGCAUAUCCAAGAAAAACACAUAACACAGCUCUUUGUUGUAACUUGUUUUCAUUGUAUGGUUUAAUAUAUGGAUAGACUGCACUACCAAACACUUUUAACUUUUGUAGUCUAGAAACAUCACCAAACAUCAUCUGAUAUGGAGAUUUUAAACUUAAAAUCUUACAUGGCAUCCUGUUGAUAAAAAAAAAAAAAAAACAGAGUGAGCACAUGCAUGAAACCACAACUUUUGAGAUAAACCAGCAACUGUCAUGAAUAUUAUAGUUGUUUCCACAAUAUGUCUAUGUUUUCUCUUAGCAAUUCCAUUUUGCUGAGGAGUAUAGGGACGAGACUUUAUGAAUUAUACCUUUUUGUGCUAGAAAAUUCUGAAAUCUUUUACUCAUGUAUUUUCUUCCUCCAUCAGUUUGAAUGCACUUAAUAACAAUAUGAAAUUGAGUACAUACAAAAUUGUAAAACUUGAGAAAAACAUCAAACACUUCUGAUUUAUUAACCAAUGUGAAUAUCCACACAUAUCUAGAAAAUUCAUCUACAAAAGGUAAUAUAGUCAUCUUCCCUGAAAUACAAAACGAACACAUAUGUUGUGUAUCAUCAGCACUACUAUCUAUCUGAGAUUGCUUCAACAUUGUACGUAAGACUUUAUUGGUUGGAUGUCCACACAUUUGAUGCUAAAUCUCAUGCUUCACUUUCUGUCCGAGUAACCCAGUUAGCUUGUUCUUAGACUUUACUGCAGCAUUUAUGAUCAACUUGGUAGGAAUCUUAAACAACUCUCCAUGCUUAUUUCGUGGUAAAUCACAGUCUUGGUUACCUUGUCCUGCACAAAGAAAUCAUUCUCAUCACAUAUGAACCAACAUAAAUUAUCUUUACAAAGUUGUUUGACAGAUAACAAACUGACUGCAAUAGUAAGAACAUGUAACACAUUUCUCAAAAUUAAAGAAUGAGGCAAUGUGUGUAAUUUUGCAAAUCCAAUGUGAUGAAUUGGCAAACCUUCUCCAUUGCCAACUAUAAUUCGAUCAGUACCCUCAUAUGGAUUAACUUGCUGAAGAGUGUUCACAUCUGAAGUCAUGUGAUGUGAUGCACUCGUGUCUACAACCCAAUAGUCAUUUGGCAAGUAAGUUGGCUGAACUUGUCCUUGCAUUGCAGUUAGAGAUUAUGAUGGUACAUUGCCUUGAUAAGCAAAAUUAUUCCUAUGAUAGCAAUCCAAUACACUAUGACCAUUCUUCCCACAUAUCUGACAUUCAAUAACUGAACUAUUUGAGCUUGAAUUUGUAGUCAUUUUCUAGCAAUUUGGAGUAGUAUGCCCUCAUUUGAAACAAAUCUGACACUCUGGAACAAUGUGUGACCUUGUUUCAGUGUUACCAAACCAAGAAUUCCAACUCUCAUUAUUCUGCCUGUUACCAGAAGAUUGACCCCUACCAUUACUUGAAUUGUUCCCUCUUUGUGAAGAUCGAAAAUUCCCAUUUCCACUACCAUUGUUAUUAGGCUUGAAAGAUCUUGAAGCACUAUUUUGAUUUGAGAACUGCCUUGGAGCAGUAGCAUUGCUCACAAGUCCAUAUGCAUUUGGAAACUCACGGUAUCCUGGGAAUGAAGAUUAUUGAUGCACAAAACUGGAGGGGUCUUGGAACAACGUAAAUCCGACCAUGAAUCUACAAGAAAGUAAAGAACACAAGAUGUAUCGUGGUUCACCCCAAUGUUUGGGCGACGUCCACACUGAUGUUGAUCGUAUUUCUCUAUAACUGUAUAUAUGGAUUACAAGUGUGAGGGGGAGUCCCCUAGAGAAAAAGAGAGUUUGAGAGAGUUUCUCUGUUUGUGAGCCUUGUGGCUUUGUAUGUGAGGAUGAAACCUGAGGAUUAUGAGGGUGAGGAGGCCCUUUUAUAGACUAAGGGCUCAUCCCAUUUUACAUGAAUCAUGGGCUCAAUCUCUGGAAGCCCAAGUAAUGAGGCCCAAUAUAAUAUGGUAUCAACAGUAGUCCCCCAAGUUUUCAGUCAAGAGAGUCUUUUGGCUAGAGACUUGAAAUUCAGUCCAUGUGUGGGCCGAAGUAACUAGAUGUCGUCUAGAACUGAUACUUGAUAUGGGGCGGUGCUCAAUGUGAAAUGAUGCUCAACUAGAAGUAGCACAUGUUGCGAUGCUACUCAGCUUGUGGCUUAUGUUGCCUUGGUUGGCUCGGCUUGUGGCGUUGAAAGUGAGGGAGUCCCUUUUAUAAAAUAAGGGCUCGCUUUUCAAUACAUAAAUGAUGGGCUAGAGUUGAUGUUCGCAGCGAGGCAGUUGCUCAGCAAGCGGUGAUGCUAUCUAAUGAUUGUGAGGGAGUCCCUUUUAUAGAAUAAGGGCUCGCUCCUCAAUACAUAAGUGAUGGGUUAGGAAUGAUGUUCGCGGCGAGGCGGUUGCUCAGCUGUCGGCGAUGCUCUUUAAUGAAAGUGAGGGAAUCCCUUUUAUAAAAUAAGGGUUCGCUCCUCAAUACAUGAAUAAUGGGUGCUCUCUAAUGAAAGUGAAGGAGUCCUUUUAUAGAAUAAGGGUUCGCUCCUCAAUACAUAAAUGAUGGGCUAAGUCCCCCAAGUAUUUUUCAUAAGGCCCAGUUGCGGAAGUCCAAUAUAUGGUACAUAGUGUAGUCCCCUAAGUCUUCAGUCAAUAGAGCUAUUGGCUAGAGACUUCAAAUUCAAUCAUGUAUAGGCCGAAGUGGCAGUUGUUCGGAGGCGGUCUUUGUAUACCAUGCAUUGAAGCUUUGAGAGUGAAGUUUUAUAGGUGAAGCUUUGAAAGUGAAGCUUUGAAGCUGGAGCUUUUGUAAAUGAAGCUUUUGAAACUAGAGCUUUUGUAAAUGAAGCUUUCGAAGCUGGAGAUCUGUAAAUGAAGCUUUCGAAGCUGGAGCUUUUGAAGCUAGAGCUCUGUAAAUGAAGCUUUCAAAGCUAGAGCUUUGUAAAUAAAGCUUUCGAAGUUGAUUGACAUGAGUGAUGCUCAUGAAUGUUUAUGUUGAUUGACAUGAGUGAUGCUCGUGGAUAUUGACAUGAGUGAUGCUCAUGAAUGUUGACAUGAGUGAUGCUCAUGAAUUUUUAUGUAUGAUUGACAUGAGUGAUGCUCAUGUAUAAUUUUGGAGUACUGGACGUACUUUUGAUCACCUAUUUGCUGAUAAUAGCGGUAGGCUGCUGAAUAAUUUUGGAGUAUUGGACGUACUUUUGAUCACCUGGUUGGUGAUAAUAGCGGCAGACUGUCGAAUAAUUUUGGAGUACUGGACGUACUUUUGAUCACCUGGUUGGUGAUAAUAGAGGGUGAACCUUAAGUAGAGGGAUGAAGGUUAGAGUUUGAAGCCAUAAGGUCUGGCUCUUUUGGGCAUAAGGGCAUUUGCUCUCCACAUAACAUUCCAGCCCACUAUUAUAGGCUUGCUGACAUUUUUUUUAUUAUCCUCUGGUGGAGUUAUACAGAUGUCUCCAAAAGAUAAGAAAAGUAAAUCACAUCAUUCAAAAAAAAAAAAAAGUGAUGGGACUUGGCAACAGUGAGAUUUCCUUUGUAAGAGUGGUUGACAAUUGCAUGUUGUUGGUGCGUACUGCGCCUACUGCGUACUGGAGAGUUUUUUCUACUUUUCCUUUUCUCUUUCCACCGCACAUCUCUCUCCGUCUCUGUCUCUGCGCUGCUGUCAUGCAUGUGCACCCAAUUAAUCAUUAAUCUCUUCUUUACAGUUUGUCCCCUACCACUUGCGGUCUUACUAAGUCAAAUCCCAAUCUCUCAGAUUUUAUUCUCUUCUUUACUUUUGCUUUCUGCUUUGCAGGUUUACAACAUGGGUGAGCAGUGACUGUAAAUCCACUUCCUUCUAAGCUUUUCUCAUCUCCAAACAUCAUUUUUUAGAAGUGGAAUCUUAUCUUGUUCUGUGCUUGCCACUUUUGUAUGUUGGUAUACCAACUCCACUGGUCUGGGACACGUCAUAGAUCUCACCCUUGAUAGCCAUGAGCAGAGGCUUCUUACUGCUUUAAUUCUUCUUUGGUGAUCUUGCCGAGCUGGACGACGAUGAGUGUCAUUUGUUAUGAGUCUUUCGAUAAUUCUGGUGUCAGCAAAGCCUUUGAUGCGAUUGGGAGACGGGUUUCGAUGAACGAGAGAGAAGGUGACGAGAACUGGGAGAGAUACCAAAAGAGCAGCCAAUAUCUUGGUCAAAUUCAUCGGACUAAUCAGCCUGGAUUUCGACGGGGUGACUCGAGCGGCGGAGACAAGUUUGUUACGACUUGCGGGGUUCGAUUACGGUGAAAGUCGCCUCCUGCUGUUGGAUUCUCUCAGAUCCAUUCAUACAUUAUGAUAGCUCGAUUGGAUUCGAGCAUGCCAGGGUUGUUCGAGCAUGCCAUGGUUAUCUCUCAAGGUUUAUUUUUCAUUAAAUGAGUGCAAAUACGCAGAGAGAGUGUGUGUGCUUUAUGGUGGCUUUGAAAUUGAAUGUGUGAACGGUGCAGCUCCUGACGUUGGGGAGUGAUCGGAAACGUGGUCGCGUCGUCGGGAAGGAAGCUGAUUGACGGCGGGGGCGGAGCGACGACCGGAUGACACGUGAGUAGAAGGGGAGGGCCACGUGGGUGGGUUCGGCAACUGAAAACGCCCGCAGGCCUUGCAACUGCAACAUCUCUGCAGCUCCGCUCAGUUAAAAGUGCUGGGCAGUGCUCGGAACAUAAAGAAAGAGACAGAUACGGUGGUUGCGUUGGGGAGGUUUUGUUUCUGCAUUUUUUAGAGAUGGGUUUUGCAGUGACUCUGCAGAUGUUUGGUUCUUCGGUUUCUGCCGAUUCACGGUGGAUGAGAUGAAAAAAAUGAAAGAGAACCGACAUAGCUUUUCGUGUCGUUCCACCAAACGAUUAAACCGUGAAAGAACACAAGAGUUGGAAAACGUAAAUCCGACCGGAAUCUACAAUGUGAUGCAACAAUGAAAGUAAAACAACACACUGAUGUAUCGUGAAUUAAAGAACAAAGAUGAUGUAUCGUGGUUCACCCCAAUGUUUGGGCUACGUCCACACUGAUGUUGAUUGUAUUUCUCUGUAACUGUAUGUAUGGAUUACAAGUGUGAGGAGGAGUCCUCUAGAGAAAGAGAGAAUUUGAGAGAGUUUCUUUGUUUGUGAGCCUUGUGACUUUGUAUGUGAGGAUGAAACCUGAGGAUUAUGAGGGUGAGGAGACCCUUUUAUAGACUAAGGGCUCCUCCCAUUUUACAUGAAUCAUGAGCUCAAUGUCUGGAAGCCCAUGUAACGAGGCCCAAUAUAAUAUGGUACCAACAAAGAUGAUGAUGGAUGAAAUUGAUUACCAGAAAAUUAAGUACCAAGAAAUUGAGUAUCAGGAAAUUGAGGAUACAUCAGUGGCAUAUUAGAUGAGACUGGCAUUGAAAGAAGUGGAAAUGGCAAGGAACCACUACUUAAACCAGUGCCCUAUGACAUACUAGCAGAUUGCAUUCCAAAAGAUGAAGAUCUACUUGGUAUCUGAGUUAAGACACUUGUUGAUGCACAAAACCGAAGGUCUUGGAACAACGUAAAUCCGACCGUGAAUCUGCAAGAAACGUAAAUGACACAAGAUGUAUCGUGGUUCACCCCAAGGUUUGGGCUACGUCCACACUGAUUGUAUUAUAUUUCUCUGUUGAAGAGGGAGAGAGAGCUUAGAGCUUAGGGGAUGUGAGGAGGCUCCAGAAAUGGCCUCCCCUAAUUGUGAGGGUAAGAGGUCAUUUUAUAAAACAAGGACUCCUCACUUAUUACAUAUUUGCCCCUUCCUUUAUCACAUAAUUACAUUUAAGUCCCCUGAGUAUUUGUACGAGAUCUAAAUACGAGGCCUUAAAUAUGGUAUAAACAGUAGUCCCCCAAGUCUUCAGUCAAUAGAGUCUUUUGGCUGGAAACUUGAAAUUCAGUCCAUGUGUGGGUCGAAGUAACUAGAUGCUGUCUUGAACUGAUGCUCGAUAUGAGGCAGUGCUCAAUUUGAAAUGACGCUCAACUAGAAGUAGCACACGCUGCGAGGCUGCUCGGCUCGUGGCUUAUGUUGCCUUGAUUGGCUCGGCUUGCGACGUUUGAAGGUAAGGGAGUCCCUUUUAUAGAAUAAGGGCUGGCUCCUCAAUACAUGAAUGAUGGGCUAGAGUUAAUGCUCUCUAAUGAUGGUGAGGGAGUCCCUUUUAUAGAAUAAGGGCUCGUUCCUCAAUACAUAAAUGAUGGGCUAGAGUUGAUGCUCACGGCGAGACGGUUGCUCAGUAGGCGGUGAUACUCUCUAAUGGUGGUGAAGAAGUCCCUUUUAUAAAAUAAGGGCUCGCUCCUCAAUACAUGAAUAAUGUGCUAAAGUUGAUGCUCUCUAAUGAUGGUGAGGGAGUCCCUUUUAUAGAAUAAGGGCUCGUUCCUCAAUACAUAAAUGAUGGGCUAGAGUUGAUGCUCGCGGCGAGACGGUUGCUCAGCUGGCGGCGUUGCUCUCUAAUGAUGGUGAGGGAGUCCUUUUUAUAGAAUAAGGGCUCGCUCCUCAAUACAUAAGUAAUGGAUUAAGUCCCCCAAGUAUUUUUUUAUGAGGCCCAGUUGAGGCCCAAUAUAUGGUACAUAAUGUAGUCCCCCAAGUCUUCGGUCAAUAGAGUCUGUUGGCUGGAGACUUCAAAUUGAAUCCAUGUAUGGGCCGAAGUGGCGGUUGUUCGGAUGUGGUAUUUGUAUACCCUGCAUUGAAACUUUGUAAGUGAAGCUUUGCAAGUGAAGCUUUGAAGCUGGAGCUCUAUAAAUGAAGCUUUUGAAGCUAUAGCUUUUGUAAAUGAAGCUUUUGAAGCUAGAGCUUUGAAGCUUUGAAUGAAGUUGAAGCUUUUGAAGCUGAUUUCUGAAUGUUGACAUGAGUGAUGCUCAUGAAUGUUUAUGUUGAUUGACAUGAGUGAUGCUCAUGGAUGUUGUCAUGAGUUGAUGUCAUGAUGUUGAUGAGUGAUAUGAGUUGUUUAUGCUGAUGAUGUUUGAUGUGAUUGAUAUAAGUAGUGCUCAUGCUCAUGAAGAUGAGUUCCUUCUUCACCUGGUUGGUGGUAUGAGUGGCAAGUUACCAAAUGAUAUUAGAGUACGGAUUAUACAUUUCAUCACCUGGUUGAUGGCAUGAAGAAGAGUACGGGUUGUACAUUUCAUCACCUGGUUGGUGGUAAUAGCGGCAGGUUGCCAAAUAAUUGUGGAAUACUGGGUGUACUUUUAAUCACCUGGUUGGUGGUAAUAGCGGCAUGUUGCCGAAUAAUUUUGGAGUACUGGGCGUACUUUUGAUCACCUUAUUGGUGAUAAUAAAGGUGGGUUGCCGAAUAAUUGUGGAGUACUGAGCGUAAUUUUGAUCACCUGGUUGGUGCUAUUUCAGGCUUAUGGGCCUUCGCCCUCCACAACAUGCCAGCCCAUUUAUUUUGGGCUUUGCCUUUUUUUUUUUUUUUUUUUUUUUACCCUCUGAUGAGGUUUAUACAGAUGUUUCCUAAAGAUAAGGAGAAUAAAUUACAUCAUUCUGGUGGGGUGUUUAUUCCUUGCUUUUGCAGUGUUUUUCUGCUGCACUCUCUCUGUCUCUUCAUCUGGCAAACAUAAGGAAUCAUAAUAAUAGGAAGAUCUUUUGCGUUUCUCUUUUCCUUUUCUACUUUUCCUUUUGCUUUUGUUUCUGUUUUCCACUGCUUCUCUUUUCCUUUUGCUUUUGUGCCGCAGCUCACUUGAUUGUUUUUCUUUCUGCUUUUUUCUUUUGCUUGUCUUUCUCUUUUCCAUUUCCUGCAUGUACCACCCACUUGCUUUCUUUUGCUUUUCUCUAAAGUGACCACUGCUUGACAACUGAUAUUUUCGUGGUAAUAAUUGCAGCCAAAGUGACAGCUGCAUCCCCUUCUCCACCUGCUUCCUGCUCAUCUCGCCGCGGAUCUGCAGGACCCUCAUGUCCUCCUUUUUUAUCACGUGCCAUAACCAUCUCCGUCAAAUGGAGAAGCGUAGUCCAGAGAAGCCAAGAGAUAUAGAGGACAUUGGCGACGACGGAGCUAAUGGCGUCGAGCACGUCACGUGAGCUGCAGCAGACCACCAUGGGCAACCCCGGACACCGACCCGCCACGCCCAAUAUGGUAUAAACAGGAAGCAUGACCAAAAAUUUGAUAAAUACAAUCAGCUGAUCUUGAUCAAGCCACUUUUUACAUGCACAGCAGAAAACCCAUCUUUCAAAAACUUGAGAAUGCUCUCGAGGUAACUCGUAAUCCUAGAAAGCCAAUCGCUGCUCUAUUUCGAAGUAGUCAAAUUCUCCGACGUCGACAACAUAGCCGCAUCGGCCACCAUGUAAAGCAAGCUCUCGGCUUUACCGAACAACUCCAUCAGCACAGCUCCUGCGUCUUCUGGUUCGGGAAUCAGACCGGGGUUGGGGUCAAGCCGGGCCACGGCGAGCGAGCCGCGGAGGAGGGACUUGGAGUGGGGGAAGCCGUAGUUGUAAUUGGAAUUUUGAAAGUUUGGAAACCCUAAAAGGUUGAGCUGCUGUUGCAGAGAUGAGGGGAGUGUGGGCGAUUCAUGCGAAUGGGGGAUGAACCGGAAAGAUGUUUGGCGGGACAGGUGAUUGAGGAGAGGCAACUGGAUAUGACUGAGGAUGAGCUCUUUGCUGUUGAUAAUUAUACUGCAGAUGGUGGCUCUGAUAAUUAUAUUGAUCUGAUCUUUUGAUUCUAGAAUUGGAAUUCGGGGUACUCGAAUAAGAGUAAGGUCGAGAAGUGUUGAUUUCAACUGUUUUGAUAGGAUCUCUCUGAUCAAACGAAGCUCUGCCUGGAUUGAUCUCAUGUUGCCUUCUUCUUGUCCAACCAUCAAGCAAAUUAAAUUUCUCCUCUAACUCCUCAUGCUCACCAGCAUCUUCGUCGCUGCUACCACUACUCAAUUUCUGGCUAGAGAAGGAAUAAGCAAGGCUGGUACUCCCUUCACGCUUCAAGGCAGUUUGCUUGGUUUGCUGUUGAUAUUUAGAAAGAGAACUUCAAUCUUCUGUAACAUUGCUUGGUUCUCUUUCAUUUUGCCUCCGAGUGAGGUGAGGUAAGUGGAGAAAUCAGGGACGAAAUACUGGCAUGGUCUUGGAGACAGGUUGGACGAAAUAGUUGUUGACCCAGUCAUUGCCUCCGAGAGUUAUGAGCACAAAUGCACUGUUCACUAGCCGUGUUACUUGUUUUGCGGUGCCAAAUGUUGAUGCACAAAAUCAGCGAGGACUUUGGUACAACAGAAAGUGUCAGGUUCGUGACCUUCGCUUGCUUCGAUCACUAGUGAAGAUAAGUACGUAAAUGAAUAAGGACAGGGAAGCAAACACAAGAUGUACGUGGUUCACCCAGAUCGGCUACGUCCACGGAGUAGAGGAGUUCUCAUUAAUUGUGAAGGGUUUACACAAAUACAUAGGUUCAAGCUCUCAUUUUGUGAGUUCUAGUGAAUAGUUUAGUACAAAAUGACAUUAGAGAUUAUUGUGGGAGAAUGAUCCCUAUUUAUAGAGGAGAGUUUCUAGUUUUGUUCUAACAUUGACACGUGUCGUGUUGUGAUUGGCUUCUGAUGUUGACACGUGUCGAGCUGUGAUUGGCUUCUGAUGUCGACACGUGUCGCAUUGUGAUUGGCCUCCUGGUUGAAGGGAAGCUCUUCUGGGUCCUUGAUGGUAUAACGUUGACCGGUGCUCAGUAGUUUCGGGAUUGGUCAAGUAUGGUACAAAUAGUACUCCCCUAAGUUCCCGAGUAAGGGAAGCUCCUCGGUUGGGGACUUGCAAGAUCCAAGCCAUUGAGUAAUCACGAAACUUCUAAGUACUGAAGUGUGGUAUCAUUUUCACGUGCCUUAUCUGUCUCAUAUGUAGAUGUGGCAUCUUCUCUGGAAGUACUUUUCCUCCAUCCAUGGGUGGUAUCUUUAACCGAUGAAGAUACACAAGGUAAUGUAUCAAUUUCACUUGAAGCUUACUUGUAGUUUCGGGCUUGGUCAAGUGCGAUACAAACCCUAUAGUAGGAGUCCCCCAAGUCGCCGAGCUAGGAGAUCUGCCGAAAGAGGUGACAGACAAGGUAAGCAGUCAAACUUCCAAGCAAGCAACCCAGGAUCGGAGGUUCGACUUUGGCUUCCGGUUGAUUGUUCUCCUUCUCCUUGUCUCUCAUUCAGCUGCCAGGAUAAGGAGAAGCAAAUGGAGAAGAGAUGAUAUGAGAUACUUUUGCUUUUGAAGAAGUAACUUUCCACAGGCUUAUUCUUGAACUGUGCUGGAGGGUUUUCUGGUUCCCUUCAGAGUAUAAGGCCGACUCAAGAAUUUGAGGGUCAAAACAAGUCCAUCAAAUCUAGAGUACGUUCGACCUUGAUGAUAUGGGAUACUUUUGCUGUUGACGGAAUAAUGAAUGUGGUAUGGAAAGGUGUCGUGCUGUAGUGAUCUGUUUCAGCUCACCGUUGAACCUUCUGCUUCAAUCUUUUGCAUAGCAGAAGUGGUGUGCAACCUUUGCAUUUAAAUGAUCAUUCAGAACAUUCCUUCAUAGUGACUCAUCCACGCUUGGCAGCUUCAGUGUAAAGAGCCAAUAUCUGAUCAACUGUCAUGAGGUAUGUGCCGGUGGAAUUCAUGACCUUGACAGCAGUUGAGGAUGAGUUCUCGAGAGAAAUGCUAAGUAAGCAACCAGGCAAAGGUCUCAGACAGUCAGUUCCAGAUUGGAGGUUUGAUUUCAGGUUCCGACUGACUGCUCUCUUUCUCUUUGUCCUGCAGGUGUGGACAAGGACAGGGAGAAGCAUGAUAUGGGAUACUCUUGCUUUCGACCCUGAUGAUAUGAGAUACUCUUGUUCUUGGUGUGGCUUAUUUGCUGAGGUAUUAUCGGGGGGAAAUAAAGCUGAGUAUUUCGAGAAGUUAUGUUGAGGGUGCAUUCUCGAAUGCGAGAAAGGGUUGAGCAUUUUUGCAGGUUUGCCUGUCCGUUGAGGAGGGAGGUCGAUGUAUAUAGGGAUUUCCCAAUAACAAGUAGUAAUGCUAUUCCUUUACCCUUCUUGGUCACAGCAAUGUAGUGGGAGCUGCCAGCUUCAUGUGUUUUAACUUUGUCAGAGUACUUUGAAAAAGUGGUAUGUGGUAUCUGGAAAGCUGAUGUUGCGUGUGAAGAUUACAGACAAGCUUUAUCUAAGGAAAUCUGGCUCUCGAAGUUUUGAGAGUUGUGCCUCUUCGGUUUUCGAACAAGCAAUCCUGUCGGGGAUCUGGCUCUCAAGAUUCGGAAAGCGGUGCCGCUUCGGUUUUUGAGAAAGUAAUUAUGUUGGGAGUCUUUUCUCGAAUGUGAGUAAAGGUUGGACGUUCUUGCCAGCCUGUCUUGCCACAGAACAUGGAGGUCGACACACAUAGGGACUUUCCAGUUGUCAAGCAGUGGUUCUGUUCCUUUACCCUGUGGGUAAUAGUAGGGUAGCUGGAACUUCGAAAUUCUCGUGCCUAAACUUUGUCAGAGAUCUUUGGCAAAGUUAUAUGUGGUACCCGAGGAGUUGAUGGUGCGUGUGGAGUGGUGAUUGAACAGUAAGAUUCAUGUGCUUUCUACUUCACCAGAAAUCUUCGACAGAUUGCCCGUAAUUUUCGCAAAGCUGAAUGUGCAUGUGACAGGUGCUGACGAGGACGAAAAAGCAGGUGCUUCUUCGAUUUCUGAGAUCGACCAUCGUGGUCUCUGAGCAGCUCAGCUUUCGAGAAAGCAAACGCAUAUUCGAUUCCUGAAGCUCCGUCAAGUGCAGAUUUUUAUAGAGGUUGUCAUUAAGUUCCACAGCACACUUGAAUCUCCACCAGUAGAAGCUCCCUUCUUGCACUUUUAAGAUCUUGAUUUGUCUGACCUCUUCCCUCUUCAACACCUUUGAAAAUGUCUAGCCCCUCCGACCGUCGUUUUGACUUGAACAUUGGAGAAGAGACAGCCACGCCUUCUCCAGACAACAUAUGGCGUCCAUCCUUCAUAUCCCCUACUGGUCCUCUUAUCGUUGGGGAUUCUGUGAUGAAGAAUGAUAUGACCGCUGCGGUGGUGGCCAGGAACCUUCUCACUCCCAAAGAUAAUAGACUACUUUCCAAACGGUCUGAUGAGUUGGCUGUUAAGGAUUCUCUGGCUCUUAGUGUUCAGUGUGCAGGUUCUGUGUCUAAUAUGGCCCAACGCCUAUUUGCUAGAACCCGCCAAGUUGAAUCAUUAGCUGCUGAAGUGAUGAGUCUCAAAUAGGAGAUUAGAGGGCUCAAGCAUGAGAAUAAACAGUUGCACCGGCUCGCACAUGACUAUGCUACAAACAUGAAGAGGAAGCUUGACCAGAUGAAGGAAUCUAAUGGUCAGAUUUUACUUGAUCAUUAGCGGUUUGUGGGUUUGUUCCAAAUGCAUUUAUUGUCUUCGUCUUCUGGGGCUGUACCGCAUAAUGAAGCUCCAAAUGAUCAACCUCCAAUGCAUCUUCCUUCUGGGGUUCUUUCCAGUACUGAGGCUCCGGAUAACCACCCUCCGGUGCUUCUCUUUCUGGGGCUCUACCGACUGCUGAGACUUCCCCUAAGCAACCUUUGUGAAGGCUCCCUCUUGUUUGUUUAUUUUGAUUCAUGUAUAUGUACAUAUUUGUAACUUAUCGGGAAUAUCAAUAAACAAGAUUUGCUUCAUUUCAACGUAUUGUGUUAAAUACACCAAGGCCUUCUUCACUAAGUUCUUUGAAUUUUUCCUUUUGUUGAAGCUUGUAUGUUGAAACUUUGUGAGUGAAGCAUGUAGGUUGAGGUAGUGCUCCCUUAAUUUCCCGAGUGAGGAAAACUUCUCGUUUGGAGACUUGAAAAAUCCAAGUCACUAAGUGGUCGUGAGACUUCCAAGUAUCAAGGUGCAGUAGCAUAUGGUAGGAGUCCCCCAAGUCUCUGGUCGAGGGAGUUGACGAAUGAGGCAUUUCCUUUCUAAGUGGUAGCCCAAAACUCCUUCUUCAUAUAUAUUUGUUAUGAAAGUUGUUAGGCCCAAAGAAGAUGAGGCCUAGGCAAUUUUUUUUUAUUUUUUUGUGAUUUUGCAGAUCCACGGUGGUGGUAUGAAAAAUUGAGAGAGAAACCGACAUAGUUUUCGUAUCGAUUCCCAUAGACGGCACUAAAUGUUGAUGCACAAAACCGAAGGUCUUGGAACAACGUAAAUCCGACCGUGAAUCUGCAAGAAACAUAAAUGACACAAGAUGUAUCGUGGUUCACCCCAAGGUUUAGGCUACGUCCACACUGAUUGUAUUAUAUUUCUCUGUUGAAGAGGGAGAGAGAGCUUAGAGCUUAGGGGAUGUGAGGAGGCUCCAGAAAUGGCCUCCCCUAAUUGUGAGGGUGAGGGGUCCUUUUAUAAAAUAAGGACUCCUCACUUAUUACAUAUUUGCCCAUUCCUUUAUCACAUAAUUACAUUUAAGUCCCCUGAGUAUUUGUACGAGAUCUAAAUACGAGGCCUUAAAUAUGGUAUAAACAACACCACCAGUUGUAAAUGGAACUCCUCUAGAGUUACUAGUAAAUCCUUGCGAUAGUCCCUGCAUAUAUAGACCUGAGAAAUUAUGAGACACAAUAUUCAAGAUAGAUUCCACUUUUCUCUCUGCACAUAACAACUACUCACAAAAUUCUCUCAAGGAGAUAGGGGUAUCCCUGGUAAGAAUCAUUGUCCUAAUGGUAGAAUAUUCUCGAGGUAACCCAGAUAACACAUCAAAGAUAAAGUCAUUAUCUGAAACAAUUUCACCAUCAUUAAGUAAUUGUUCUUUAAUAUUCCUGAGUUUUGACAAGAACUGAUCCAUUGAAUCUCAUUAUUUCUACAAAGUUUGAAACUCGGUCUUUAGAGUAUUGACUUCAGCCUUGGACAUGAUGCAUACUUAUCUUGUAAGCUAAACCAAGCUUCAUGUGCAGUUCUGCAUCCAAGAACAUGCUCAAUUGCUUUAUCAGAUAAUGUAGCAAGAAGUAAACUUAACAAUGCCAUAUCAAAAGAUUCCCAUUCCAAGAAAGAUGUUGUGACUUCUGUAGUAACCCUAUUUUCUAUAUGAAUGACAUACUUUGGAGGACACAUAGCAAAUCCAUCAAAGUGAUCAAACAACUUAUACCCUUUCAGGAUUGACUUGAAUUGAAAAGCCCAUUUAGAAAAAUUUCGAUCAUUCAGUUUAAUUGUCAACAUCCCCAAUACUCCCUUAAUCUUUACACCAGGAACUGUCAUUUUUUUUUUCACAAAUUGAAGUAUUACACAGAGGUAACUACAACUAACACCCAAGAAUUGCAGAAAACAUACAAGAAUGGCUUCGUGCCACUGAGAUUAUAGCAGAUAAUGGUUUCGUGCCGCAACAAACUAAUCAAGGAAAUAGCUUCCUUCACAAUUCAAGAAAAUGACUCUGUGCCUUAACAAUUCAACAAGAAAAUGACUUUGUGCCCCAAAAAAACUUCACAAUUUAACAAGAUACCAGCUUCAUGCCCCAAGAAACCCAUAAAAAAAAAAGUAAAAAUCAUGACUUCAAAAUGAAACAUAUCACCUGAGAUCGACAAAGACGAAUAAUUACUCAGAUCUGCAGUUACAAAAAUCUUCAAUAGAUGAACCUUCAACACGAACUCCCCAAAAAAUCCAGAUGAACCUUCAGCACAAACUCCCUAAAAGACCCAGAAUUGCAGAGCCCAAGAACAUUCACAGACCCACAGUGGACCGACGAAUCUUGAUACCAUGUUAACAGAUGUAUUUCCAGCAAUCCAUGGCUAUGAAGAAUGAUUCGAAGAAGCAAAAAAUAUAAGUAAAGAAGAGUGAUGUUUGAGAAAUAUAAAGAGAAAGCUCUGAUUGUAUUGAAGUAG
This 65910-nucleotide long non-coding RNA is filed under the name Malus domestica (apple). Its description in RNAcentral is "long non-coding RNA (MDOM_LNC005341)". Lineage: Eukaryota; Viridiplantae; Streptophyta; Magnoliopsida; Rosales; Rosaceae. The record is from RNAcentral.